Molecule: long non-coding RNA, 52825 nt
Filed under: Manihot esculenta (cassava)
Lineage: Eukaryota; Viridiplantae; Streptophyta; Magnoliopsida; Malpighiales; Euphorbiaceae
Description: long non-coding RNA (MESC_LNC009714)
Source: RNAcentral
CGGCCGCCGAAAGUCAAGUUCGGCCGCCGAACAUGCAUGCGUUUUGGAGGCACGUUAGGCCCCCGAAAGCAUGAGUGACGGAAGUCCAGGUUCGGCCGCCGAAACUCAAGUUCGGCCGCCGAACAUGGCAUGCAUACGGAAGCACUUUCGGCCCCCGAACGUGGCCUGGCCAGCCACCUAUAAAAGGGUCACUUGGCCGAAAUGGGCGAGCUUUCUCCCAUUUUCGACCACAGCUAGCUUCCGACCUCCCUCUUCCAAAUCUAGUGUUCUUCCUUCAAAUCCCCACCAUUUUUCUUGAGUUUUAAGCUUGCAUUGAAGGUUUUGAACUUUUGAAACAAGUUUUGGAGCUUUGGGAACUCAAGAGCUCAUUUUCGUGGAUCUCCUAGUUUAGGUCGUCUCCCUCUCGAUCUUCAAGAGGUAAGAGCCGAUCUUAAGCUCCUUAUGUGUUUUAAAUAAGUUUUAUGCAAGAUCUAUGGGUAGAAAUGCAUGUUAGGUUAUAUGUUGAGUUAUGGGUUAAUAUUGAUGUUUUGAACAAUGUGUGUUGUUUGUGUGUGUUUGAAGUGUUGUAGUUGGGGUAUAUGACUGUUUGAGACCCCUAGGAACUUGUAUGCAUGUCCUAGUUGAGCCUUAUGCAUGAUUUGAGGUUUUGGGAGGCAAGAGGCUCAUGUGAGCCAAGUUUCUGCCCUUUUGGGAGAAACCAGGUUCGGCAGCCGAAGGAACUUUCGGCCGCCGAACCCNNNNNNNNNNNNNNNNNNNNNNNNNNNNNNNNNNNNNNNNNNNNNNNNNNNNNNNNNNNNNNNNNNNNNNNNNNNNNNNNNNNNNNNNNNNNNNNNNNNNNNNNNNNNNNNNNNNNNNNNNNNNNNNNNNNNNNNNNNNNNNNNNNNNNNNNNNNNNNNNNNNNNNNNNNNNNNNNNNNNNNNNNNNNNNNNNNNNNNNNNNNNNNNNNNNNNNNNNNNNNNNNNNNNNNNNNNNNNNNNNNNNNNNNNNNNNNNNNNNNNNNNNNNNNNNNNNNNNNNNNNNNNNNNNNNNNNNNNNNNNNNNNNNNNNNNNNNNNNNNNNNNNNNNNNNNNNNNNNNNNNNNNNNNNNNNNNNNNNNNNNNNNNNNNNNNNNNNNNNNNNNNNNNNNNNNNNNNNNNNNNNNNNNNNAGCCAAAGGUGAGUAGAAUAAACUCUAAAGUUUUAAAUUAAUGAAAUAUAGAAUUUUGAGCAUGUUCAUACAUCAUAUAUGCCAUGUGAUAUUCUAGGUUGUUUGCAUUAGAAAUUCACGAAUAUGAUGCAUUGCAUAUUAUGUUGUUGAUGUGGGUAAAUGCUGGAUGAUCCACUAGUUCCUGGUAGGAAGACCAGGGAGCCUUUGACUAUGCCCCUGGCACAAUGAGAAAGAAAGACCAGGGAGCCUUUGACUACGCCCCUGGCACCAUGGGAUGCCAAGACCAAGUGCCUAAUAAGGCCUUGGGGCAUUGUAAGUUAUGUUAUGUUUACAGGAAGUCCAGUGAGCCUUUGACUACGCCGCUGGCAAUAGUUAUGACGAUGGGACUAGUUGGUGACAGGUUUACCCUUGAUGUGGCUUGUUUGUGAUGUGACGCAUUUCAUGAAAGUAUGAAUUUAAAAUGUAAUGUUUUAUUAUUCUGCUCACUGGGCUCUUGUAGCUCACCCCUUUCCCUUAACCCCCAGGUGUGCAGGUAUAGGGUAGACCAGGAGGUCAGCAAGAGUAAAGAUGAGUUCAUGUAAUAGUUUAGAUGUGGACAUGAGAUCUAUGAUGAUGUAAUGUAAGAGUAUUGUAUAGUUAUGUUAUGUAAUGAUGAGGUUUAGAAGUGUGCUUGACCCUAGUUGUGCAAUCCCUUUUAAAAUGCAUGAUCUUUUAUGAGAAAUGAUGUUAUGGUUCAACCAAGCUUAAUGUACGAUGAGUUACCCCAUUGGAGCAUUUGAUGAGGACUCCAGUGGAGGUUUAUGUUUUUGUAUAUGAUUAUGUGUAGGUUGAGCUUGGUUGAUGUAUGAGAAAGUUUACAGGUUUAUGAGUAUUGUUGAUCAUGUAUGGGAUUAAACAGGUUUACAGGUUAUAUGUCAGGCUUGCUACGGGUCCCGGCGGCCUUAAGCCGAUCUGGAUCCUAGCGCCGGUAGCGGUCCGAUUUUCGGGUCGUUACAGGAGCUUAAUCUUUGAUUAAUCUUUUAAAAUCCUUUAUUAUUCAAUCUCAUAGCAAAAAAGUUGAAACACUUUAGGAUUUGGCCAUUUGAAACUAAAAGGUAAGGAAAAUUUGAGAAAAAGACUUGAGCUUAUCUCUACCCGAAAUGGAGAUAAAUUCUCUCUCUCUUUCAAGCUAACAAGUAUUUAUAGGUAGACUGUAAAAGUCAUCUUUGGAGGUAGAACUUGAAGUUUCAACAGUCAAACCUUAAAACUCUUCUAAAAUAUUUUUUAAAAAACACAUUUUAAAAUACUUAAAAUUCAUUUUAUUAAAACUCAUUUUACCAUUCUAAAGUUUUUAGUUCCAAGAUUUCAAAUUACAACGGAGCUUCUGUCAGAAAGUUGCAAUUCCAACACUAGAGUUUAGCCAGGUAUUACAGAUACUAUCUAAUGCUACAUAAUAAUCGCCCAAAAUAAGCCAUGAGCUGUCACCACAAGAUAGGGUCACGUGGCAAGAAUCUGAUAAGUGGAAAACGCGGUCCCACCUGAGAAAAUGAAGACUCGAACACCUCAAACACUCGAUCUAUGAUUAAGAGUCGCCCUUCCCUGGAUAGGACGAGCCUUGGUAUAAAGUUAUCGUUAUCAGACACAGUACAACAUAUUCCCAUUAUAUAUGUAAUCGCGGAUCACUGAUCUAUUAGCUAGCGAUAUCCUUUAUCAAGCAGCCGAUCACAUCACCAUCAGAUUAUUAAAAAAUGCUAUAUUUAUCUGCACACUCUUACAGUAUAAAAGGUGAAGGACCACAGAGGCAAAGGUAUGCUAUUCUCUUACACUACUCAAGUUCUAAGUAAUUCAUUGCUGUAAUACCCGGCUGAACUCCGGUAUCGAAAUUCCUACCAUCCGGUGGAAUCUCGGAUGUCGGAAACCUCUAGAAGGGUAAAAUCAUGUUUUUAUAAAAUGUUUUCAUGUAUUUUAUGGUUUUAAAUAAGAUAGAAACUGAGUUUUGAAUGAAAAAGACCAUGGAGGCAUUUCCAGGUUUGGCCGCCAAACCUCAAGUUCGGCCAGCGAACAUGGGAUAGUUUAGGGAGGCAAGUUAGGCUUUCGAAAGUGGCUCAGGUUCGGCCGCCGAACUUGCAUGAGUUUUGGAGGCACUUUAGGCUUCCAAAGGUGGUAUGGCCGCCAAAAGUACCGCCAAAGGUGUAUGACUUUCGGCUCUGGAGGGACUUUCGGCCGCCGAACCUGCCGCCGAAAGUGCCCUGUUCAGCCUUCCUUUGCAUGAUUUCUAUGAUUGUUUUAAGGUGUUUUAGGGGAUUUUUGGGGAGUAUUUUAGAGUCAUGUUCAUAUAUGUUUGGUCCCUCAUUAGAGUCCACCUGUGUAGGUUCGGACCAGAGAAACCGAGGACCCCAGCAGUGAGACAGCUGCUUUAGUGUCUUGUCAGAGCUAGCCUGAGGUGAGUAGAAUGACUCUUUACGUUUCAAAGCAAAUAAUGAAAGUUUUAGCAUGAUUCACGCAUCAUGAAUGCCAUGAGAUACAUUAGGUUGUUUGCAUUAGAAUUCACGAAUAUGUUGCAUUGCAUAUUAUGUUGUUGAUGUGGAUGAAUAUUGGAUGAUCCAUUAGCCCUUGUAUGAUAUGAUAUGGUAUGAUGAUGAUAUGGUACGGAAGUCCUAGAAGACCCAUUCUACGUCCCUGGCACUAUGUAAGAGAAAGUCCAGGAAGACCCAUUCUACGUCCCUGGCAUAUUGGAAUGUUAUGAUAUGUUAUGUAAGAGAAAGUCCAGGAAGACCCAUUCUACGUCCCUGGCACUAUUGGAUAUGUUAAGGGCUAUUGGUGACAAGUUCAUUCUUAAUGUGAUUUGUUUGUGAUAUGAUGCAUUCCAUGAAAGCAUGAACUUUAAAUAUAAUGUUUUAUUAUUCUACUCACUGGACUUUAGUAGCUCACCCCAUUCCCUUAAUCCCCCAGGUUGCAGGUACGGGAUAGAAUCAGGAGGUCAGCAAGAAUAAGAAGUCAUGUUUUAUGUAAUAGCUAAAUGUGGACAUGAGAAUGAUGUAAUGUAAAGUAUAGUUCAGUAAUGUAAUGUAAUGAUAUUUAUUGAGGCUUAGAGUUGUGCUUGACCCUAGUAUGUUGGUUAAUCCCUUUGUACAUGGUUCAUAAAAUGUUUUAUCAUUGUUUAUGUAAACCAAACUUAUUACAUGAUAUGUUAUCCCAUUGGAGUAUUUGUUGAGGGCUCCAGUGUGGGGUUUAUGAUUAUAAGUUGUGCAUGCGCAGGUUAAGUUUGGUAAAUGAAAGAGAAAGUUCAAAAUUUUAUGUAUAUAUUUGAUCAUGUAUGGGAUUAAGCAGGUAUACAGGUUGUAUGUGAGGCUUGCUAUGGGUCCCGGCGGCCUUAUGCCGAUCUGGAUCCUAGCGCCGGUAGCGGUCUGAUUUUCGGGUCGUUACAAUUGCAUUCACCUCAUUCUUCAGUAUACUGACUUGAGCGUCGGAGUGGCUGCUGUGGGCACCCACCACCUCCUCACGUUCUCUUUCUUGCAAGUCUAGCCAAUCAUAGAAUAGCUCUGUUUUUUUACCACAUCAUUUGGUUUCGCUGCUGGAAAACCUAUUGAAUCCUCCUUAUUUAUUUAGAUUACGAUCCAUUUCUUACUUUUUCUCUUGAAACAGGAAUCUCUCCCUUUUCUCUCACAAAAUGGAUGGUAGUUCAUGAAAAUAAUCUAAACAACAAGCAAAUGCUUUGAUAUAUCUAAAGGUUCCCUCGAACAGUAUAAGACUCGGGGGAGGCAUCAAACAUGGCUCCUAGAAAAAGAGAGGAAGCAUCCGUAGACACUCAAAGGCUUGGACAUAAGUGUUCAAAAUGCGGCCUAAAGGAAAGGAUGAGUUUGAAGAUGAAUCAAACGAAGCUCCAAAAGGCAUCGAUUGAAAACUGGUAUGAGCCGUGUAAAGGUACCAAAGGGAACAAGAGGAGCACUUUGACCUAGACAAUACCUCGCCUCUUUCGAAAGAAAUCUUAGUGGAAACGUUACCAACCAAGUUCAAGCUACCUAGCUUGGAUAAGUAUGAUGGAAUAAUAGAUUCCAGAAGUCACCUAUCGAUCUUCAGGACAACCAUGCAGUUUCAAGAUGUUAAUGAUUUCAUGUUAUAUUGAGUGUUUCCAUCAACACUCACAGUUUGACUCAGAAAUGGUACCAACAUUUGAGUCUAGAUUUAAUUUAAAACUUUACUCAGUUUUCCACGUUAUUUAAAUAUAGAUUUAUUACUUGUAUACCUCCUAAAAAUCUUUCCUCUGACUUGUGAAAAAUUUACCAAGAAAAGGGCGAGUCUUUAAGGAGUUUUAUCUCAAGGUUCAAUGUUGAGGCAAUACAGGUGAAAGAAUUAAAUCACGAGAUAGCAUGUGAAUCAUUGGAGAAAGGAAUGCAUAAUAUCAAAUUCAUGGAUUUCUUAAUUAAAAGCCCAACUGUGACAUAUCAACAGUUAAUGGACAAAAGUAAGUAUAAGAAUUAUACUCCAUUGAAUGACUCACAGACACGUAUUUUGACAUAGAUUUAGAAAAAUGACAAGAAAAUCAGGUGGCCACCCAAGCUCAAUCCUGAGAAAGUGGAGAAACGAGACAAAACCAAGUACUUCCAUUUCCAUGAAGAUCACGAUCAUAUGACAGAAGAGUAUCGGUAAAUAAAAGAUGAGAUCGAGAGGCUAAUAAGGGAUGGUCCUCUUUAGAAGUUCACCAAGAAGAGAAAGAAAGAGAGGAGACUUGAAUCCGAGACAACAACUCUCAAAACCACCCCUGAUCCAGAGCUUGUAGGGAUUAUUCAUGUAAUAAUGGAAGGACUGAGGAAUGAUCAGGGAAAAUAAGUAGAUUAUAGAUGUAAUUGCCGGUCUAGUAAGUUGGGCAAGAACUGAAAAAGACCAUUCGAAGGUCAUUCACCCAGAGUCCUGUAAGUUGGCUAGACUAGAUGGCCGAGUGAUUCCCCACUCCCAAGAUAUUUGUAAUAUGAAAACAUUUUAUCAAUAACAAGUUAAUGAGAUAUUUUUUCAUAUAUGGUAUUAUUCAGUGAUAAGAAACGAUGGGAUUGCCUUCCUAAAAUAAUAUUAAGGAGACAAGAAGAGGCCACAAGGCGGGUUCUGUCAAGGUAGGUCACAAGGCGGGUUUCGCCAGACCACAAUUCAGGUAUUGGUCCUACUAAGCAAGGCCACAGGCGAGUUCUGCCAGGCCAUAUCACAAGGCGGAUUCCGCUAGACUACAAUCCGGGCGUUAAUCCCACUGAACAAGGCCAUAAGGCGGGUUCUGCCAGCGAAGUCACAAGGCAAAUUUUGCUAAACCAUAAUCCGGGCGUUGGUCCCAUUAAGCAAGGCCACAACGUGGAUUUUGCUAGGCUAGGUCACAAGGUGGGUUUCGCCAGACCACAAUCCCAGCGUUAGUCACACUAAGCAAGGCCACAAGGUGAGUUCCGCUAGACUAGGUCACAAGGCAUGUUCUGCCAAACCACAAUCCGGGCGUGGGUCCCACUAAACAAGGCCAUAAGGUGAGUUUCCUAGGCCAGAUCACAAGGCGAGUUUCACCAGACCACGAUCUAGGCGUUGCACUAAACAAAGCCACAAUGCGGGUUCCGCUAGACUAGAAGACUAGGUGUUGGUCCCACUAUUAAAAGCCAUCAUAAGGAGUAACAAGGGGGGUCUCACCAGGUGCUAAUCCCCUAUAAGAAGUUCUAAGGCAUGUCCAAGGGCAUAGGGUGAGUAUGAUCCAAGCCAAAACAUUGGUUGUUGGUCCCACUAAUCGAGGCCUUAUUGUCAGGCUACGAGACAGGUUUCGCCAGACUCAAAUACUGGGUGAUAGCCCCAUAUAAGGCUUGUGAGGCAUUCAAAGCCCAAGCCAUAGGGUGGGUGUUCAUGGACGAGUACUAGCCUUAGGAUUAUAAGAAAUCCUAUAAGGUAUGCCAGACUGACGAGUGUUGAAUCCGUUAAUUUAAAAUUUACUUCCCUUUUCCUGAUUGAUAAGAACUUGUAGAUAGGGUAAGUGAGUAUCAAUCCCACAGAGACCUUAAUCCUGUUUAAUUUAGAUGACCAAUUUGAAAUAGAAGAGAGUUUAAUACAAAAAGUGAGAAGAAGAGAGCUUUUUGAUAAAAGUGAUAUUACCUUGGGCAAGCCAAAAAAAUAAACUUAAAAGAAAAAUAAUAAAUAAUGCAAUUGAAAUUUAAAAAAUAAAUAAUUAAUUAAAACUUUCAGCUGAAGGUAAUCAAUUUGAGGCAUUUUGCAGUUGAUCAUUGGUUAGAAAAAAAAUAUUUCAUAUUAUUAUCUAUUGUUUGGUUAUAGUGGUCAAACACGUGAAUCCCACCAGUUCUUUCUUAUGAAUAAAUUAAUCUGCUUUGCGCUUAAAUUAAUUCUUAGUUAACUACCAACCUCAACACGCAUGUAGAUUUAAUUAGUCAACUGCAUUAAGAGAGAAGAACCCAAACUUGAUUAAUAAAAACAUGCGUUUUAUUUAAAUCAAAUCUACUAAUUUCUUAAUAUAAACUAAUAUAUUAAUUACUACUUAUUAUUAACCCAAUUAAACAAUUACGGAUUUAAUUAGAUUAAUUAGCAAUAUGUUGUCUUUCCAAGAGAUUCAAUGGGCCCUUUGAAUUCUCAAGAAAAUAACAAUGGAGGUGGUGUUCAUCGAAUUCAGAAAUUAAUAGAAAAUAGAAAUAAGAUGAAGAGAGUUGUAGUGCAUAACCUCACAACUUGAACAAACCUCAAAUUAAUUUAACCUUCAACUGAAAAUAAAUGUUUAGCCACUCAUGGCCAUAAUAAAAUUAUAACAACUAAGCAAAAGAAGAAGAAAAAGAAAAGAAGAUGGAGAAGAAGGUGAGGGGCAGCAAGAGAGGAAAUGAGAGUGAGAGGUAGAAUAUGAUUCCUAGGUCUAAUGCUAGGAGCCUUUAUAUAGGCACAAAAAGAUACAAUUUAAAAUAAAAUCUAUUAUUCCUAUCUUAUUUCUAUUCUAAUCAUAUCUCUAUCCUAAUCUUAUCUUUAUCCUCAUCUGAUUGAGUUUGAUUCAAUUUGACUCCACUUGAAACUAAUCUGGAAAUUGAUCUUAUUCUUGCUUAGGUGGCAAAAUCUAUUUUAUCUCUCCAUCGCUUUAAGUUACAGGUUUGAUCAAGGUUGUAGCCUCCCAGUAUAAAAAAUCUUUUAAUUCAGCAUUUUUUCUUCCUUUUCUCAACUUCUGCUCACAAACCUGUCCAAAAUUAAAUUCAAAUUAAAAUUAAAUAUUUAUCUCAAAAUUAUAGUAAAAUCAUGGAAUUAAAUGGGAACAAAAUUAUGAGUUUUGCAACUCAUCACAGACCUGAGGCGGGCAUUCGCUAGGCCAUAUAUCCGGGUGUUAUUUCCACUUAUCAAAGGCUUUCAAGCUAUUUAUUUUCACUAUGGUGGAUGAGUGUUAACCCUUAGCAAUUUUUUAAGAAUUUGUGUAACAGCCCGGCCCUUUCACAGGCACUGUUACCGUUCACGGCCCAGGGCUAUCCCUCGCUUGGCCUCGUGCCACCUCGGGCUUUCCACUGGCGUCGUGAACAGCUUUUAACAUCCAUUCACCCUCACGGGUUCCUGGCAGGAUUUGUCCCCUUGGGUUCUUGCAUCGCAUCCUUCCCCAAGUGGAUUUGGCCUAAAUUUCCCUUUGGAAAGGGUUCGAGUAGUGGGGGAGGCGACCUAAUUUUCAAAGGGAAAUUUGGGCCAAAUCCACUUGGGGAAGGAUGCGAUGCAAGAACCCAAGGGGACAAAUCCUGCCAGAAACCCGUGAGGGUGAAUGGAUGUUAAAAGCUGUUCACGACGCCAGUGGAAAGCCCGAGGUGGCGAGGCCAGGCGAGGGAUAGCCCUGGGCCGUGAACGGUAACAGUGCCGGUGAAAGGGCCGGGCUGUUACAAUUUGUUUAAGUCUUAGAUGAGGGCUGUGAAUGAGCAUAAGGCAUAUAGAAGCUCAGUGAAAAUAAUGACAAGAUAUGAGAAAAUAUUUUAUUGAAGUCAUAAAAGGUUACAUAGGAGGAAGGAUAUCUUCAGGUUCCUCCGCUCGAGUCUCUAUUACAUUAGCAUUAUCUACAUUUGUUACAUUAUCUAUAGAGACUCGGUCGUGGGGACUACCCUUAGUUUGUCCCUUACCCUCUUCUAUCUCAUCUCCCCCCUCCUUCGAGAAGAUGUCGUUUAUCCAAAUAAAGUCUUUAAAAGAAAAUCGUUUCACUAGCUCCUUCUUUACUGAGUCUUGAUCUUACAUGAAUAUUUCCCUACCUUAGGCCACCAUCUCCCAAAGCUCUACCUCAAGCUCGAUAAUCCUAGAAGAGGCAACUUGGGCCUCCUCAGCUUAAACCUGUAGCUCUAGGACUUGGCGAUGCAAUAGGGCCACCUAGUCCUCGGUAGUCUUCGCAUGAUUCUCAAGGACCAGCUUGGAAGCAUUAGCCUCAUUCAACUUAGCUUGGAGCUUAUCCACUGACUCUAGAGUCUCCUUCAUGGUGCCCUCCACUUUGUCAAUCCGAGUUUUCAACCUCAAGCAUUCCUCGACCAAGAGCCUUUCUAUUCGUCUCUUGAGUGCCAAACUUUCGCCUUAGGGCUUUAUGGAGAUCCUUGGCCAUAUAAGCAUAGAGGACACUCUCUAGAGCAAAGUACAUGACGUUAUCAAAAAGAUCGUUUGUCUUGAGCUCGUUUAGGCAAUGGUGAUCCGCGGGUCUCACUGCACUCUUAAUUAACGGGACAGUGAGGGUAGGAUCAUCAAGGAGUGAGGGCACCCGGUUUAGCACCAAUGCCAUGCACUGGAUGCUUGGAGGCCAUGAAGUUUCAACCCUAACACUCACAAGAGCAAGUUCAGAAGAAGGGGGGACAACAACAAGAAGCUCGAAAGCUAGGGCAGAAGCAAAAGUGCCCAGGGAAGAAGACUCAAAUUGUAAAUGGGCCGACUCUUCUACUGUAGGUUGGGUCGGGGGAGGAGGAAACAUGGUCACUUCUCUUGCUGGGCAUGCACGUUUAGCAGAGGGACUAGUAACCCUAGCAACAGCCUUACCUUUGCGGGCAACAUGCGUCGCUUCAGCAAAUUUGCUCUUCAAACCAGCCAUAUUGCAAAAAUUUCAAAGUAAGUAAGUAAAGUAGUUCGAAACCUAAAAUAAGAUAGAAAGAAAAAGUACUUUGAUCUCUAGCCAAAGAGGUGCUUUCCUCAAUGCUGGGAAGGCUUGGUAGGUGAGAACCCUGAGUUUGGCUUUCUUGCAAACGACUCUAUGAAGACAAAAUGGCAUUUCUCACUGCAUGCGUAGUGUCCAUUUUCUUUGGGGACUUAGCCUUCAUCAAUAGAAAGGCUAAAGCCUAGUCCUCAUCCCUCCUCGAACGGGCUCCAUCCUUCCUUAGCUUUACCUAAAAGUGUCAGCUUGCUUCAAGGUGCCCAAAAGCUCUAGGCAUCCGGUGACGAAGGAUGAAAAACUUAUUUUUCCACAGCUUCAAUGAAGAAGGUAUCUAGUGAAAGAUGGUCAGGUGUUUUCGCCCGCUAAAAUACCAAAAUUCUUCACUUUUGCGAGUAUCCAGCUGGUAUCGUUAGGAGAAGAGGGCUACUCUCGGUUUAGUGUUGUUAUUAAGGCAAACGAACUGGAAGGCCACCAAGAUUCUCCAAAUAUUGGGGUGCGACUGGGUAACCAAAAGCUUAUGGAACCGAAGAACGUCAAUAAAAAAUAGGUCCAUGGAGAACCGAAGGCCCACCUUUAGCUGCUCCACGAAAACCAUAAUAGUAUCCUCUGCAGGAAUCAAAUCAUUCACACAGACGUGUGGAGAAGGGGCAAAGACAUGAAAGGACUCUCGAGAGAUUUAGUAGGUAUCAUAAAAGUGUUCUACAUCUUGCUCCGUAGGACAGAAGGGAUGUCACUAAUAGAGCUACUCUCACUUUCUGGAGCCUCCCUCAAUGGAAUGAUAGGGGCCAGGGCACGGAUGGGGCCAUCCGAAGAGGAGCUUGAAGUAGAAACUCCUUCAGGAAUAAGAGAAGAGGAAGUAUUCUUAUAUAUUAUGAAAAGGAAAAAGGAAAUAGAAAUUACCAUAGGAAGUAUAAAUGAAAAGAAGUUGCGAUUGAGUCUUUUUGAAAGCAAAAACAUCAUAGUUGAAAGCAAAAGUGAUAUUUAGGGAAGAAGAAUGGUUCUUAUAAGAUGAUUUUUACAGCAGGCUUUAAAUGCGGUACGAGAAGCAGGUCAGUCAUCAUUGAGCGGCUAGAUAGGCGAAACAAAGUGAGCAAUAAAAAACUAAUCUUAGUAAGCCACGUGUCCUAGAUCUCGAGAACAAUUAUCUUUUUUGAAUCUGAAGAAUCGAAGACCUACUGGGGACCUCUGAUACUACAUAACAAUCGCUCAAAAUAAGGCAUGAGCUGUUACCACAAGAUAGGGCCACGUGGCAAUAAUCUGAUAAGUAGGAAAUGCGGUCCCACCCGAGAAAAGGAAGACCCAUACACUUCAAACACCCGGUUUAUCAUUAAGACGCCCUCCCCUGGAUAGGACGAGCCUUGGUAUAAAGUCACCGUUAUUAAGCACAGUACAACGUAUUCCCAUUAUGUCUGUAAUCGCGGGAUCACCGACCUAUUAGCUGAUAUCCUUUAUCAAGUAGCCAGCCAUACUAUUGUCAGAUUAUCAGAAAAUUCUAUAUUUAUCUCCACCUUCUUACAACAUAAAAGGAGAAGGAUCACAGAGGUAAAGGUACACUAUUAUCUUAUACUACUCAAAUUCUAAUCAAUUUAUUGCAUUCAUCUCAUUUUUCAGUAUACUGACUUGAGCGCCGGAGUGGCUGCCGUGGGCACCCACUACCUCCUCAUAUUCUCUUUAUUGCAGAUCUAGCAAAUCACAAUAUAAUUUUAUUUUCUAGCCACAUCACUCUCGCAAAGUACAUUGUAUUGGACUAUAUUAAUUGUGUAUUUUCAAUAAUUAUGCUUUCAAUAUUGGACUUUAUUAGAGUUGUGAAUUGAAAUAUAUAUGUAUAUAUUAUUAUUACAAUGGAUUUAUGAAAAUAUUAAAAAAAAUAAAUAGUGAUAAAUUAGCUUAAAAAAGAACAAUAAGCAACCAAAUUACAAAUACUGAUUAAAAUAACAAAAGCACUUGCUUCAAUUUAACUAUAAAGCAGUGACUAAAUAAUAAAUAUUUAACAACCAUUUAGCGUGCAUUUUAAUUUGCAAUCAAUUAACAAUUAUAAAAAAUUUUAAAAGAAAAAUUAAAAAAAAAUAUUCUAUUUCUAUUUAGCAAUCAAAUUGUGACCAUUUACUGACUAGUUUAUGACCAAAUAUCAAUGACUUAUUUACGUCAACUCUAGCGUUGAAAAUUUGUAAUGCCCAUACUUGUUUUCGCACUAGAUUAACUACUGUUGAUUCAUCACGUAUUAGUUGUUAAAUUAACAACCAAAAGACGAUUUGUCGCUAUUUUUAGUGAGUAGCCAAAUGUAGACUUUUUUUAUUACUAAUUGGUUGUUAUUUCUAAAGAGUGAUUAAUUUUUCUUAAUUUGCGAUCAAAUUUUUUAUUGUUAUUUUACUGUUUUUUUUUUAAUAAAGGACUUGUUGGCUCCUCACCCUUAGCAGAUAUCUACUAUCCAUUUUAUUUCAUAACUCAACAUCCUAAGUUUGAAAAGUGGGUAGAAGAUAAGAGUGAGCAGUAUUUGGUUCGAAUCAAAAAAAUCGACCAAAUCGAAUUGAUUUAAAAAUUCAAUUUGAUUUUUUUAUUCAUUUCGAUUCGAAUUUUAAUUUUAAAAAAUUUAAUUAUUUCGUUUGGUUUAAUUUUAGUUGAAAAAAUUAAAAAAGUUGAACUCAAUCGAUUAGUGAUAAUAGUAUAUUAUUUUUUAUAAUAUAAAGAUAUUAGACAAUAAUUAAGGUUAAAAUAUCUUAAUUAAGUUUUAAAAUAUUGUUUAGUUUUCACAAAUAUUGAAAAUUUGAAUUUUGAUAUAUUUAAUUCGAUUCGAUUUUAAAUCAAACCGAUCGAAUGUUCACCCCUAGUAUAAGAGAGGGAAGGUAUUCAACAUUCUUCUCGCCUAAUUUACUCGAAAACUAGUACUAUCCCCUACAUUGAUUCUUACAUUUUAUCUUAGUGUAUUAAUUAGAAAAUCUUUUCAUGCAUAUCCAUUUUAUUUACUUCACACACAUUCUCAUCACACAAAUUACCUUUUUACACAUACAUCUUUCAAUCUAAGCAUGCAAAGUACCUACUUAAACUAAGGUGAAAUAGUUACCAAGUUGUCCUAUAUGAACAUGUUUCUGAUUCAAUUUCAUGUCAUGGUUCAUUUAACAUUAAAGCGGGGUUUCUAAACACGCAUAAUUUCUAUGUUUAUUUUGGCCGCAUAAAGAAAAUAUAGGUCUUUUAGGUUUCUAACAUGCCACUUAAGCACUUUUUUAUGGUCAACUUACACUACCAUUUUCAUGUCAAAGUGUAAACAAAUCUUAAGCCUACAAAACCAUACCUCUAUUAUGCAUAAUUAUUUUUAGAAUUAUCAAUUGAAUAAUUUAGUUUACUAAGCUCAAUUUCAUGCAUAUUUAAGUGAUGAAAGCAAUUAAAAUCAUAUAUGAAAACAGAGAGGAAAAAGUGAUUAAAAAUAAUUAGUCAAAGACCUUGAAAAAAAGGAGGGAGGAGAAAAAAGAAUUAAAUUCCAAAAUAAUUAAUAAAAAUAAUAAUAACAAGAAUAAAACUAAACUAAUCCUAAUAUUUUAGAAGGCCUGCCUUUGUAAAAGACCAUUUAAAAUAUUUCAUUUGAGCUUCCAUUAUGGGCUCCAUGUGUCCAUCAAACCAAAAUUUGCACUUCAAGUGAUUGAAGCCUUCAGCUAUGUUGGUUCAAGGGCAAUUUGGGCUUUUCACCACCUUUUAUACUCAUUUAAUUAAAAUAAAUUAUCAAGACAAAAUAAAAUAAUGAUGAACCAAAAAUAAAUUAAAAUAAAAAUUUAGAAAUUAAAUAACUAAAUAUUUUUUUUUUAAAUGGAGAUCGAGAAUUAGAGAAGUAAAAUCCGAGACCUUUUAAAUUUACUCAGAUCUAUUUACCAUAGUAAGCCUAUGAAUGCUAAAUAACUAAACAUUGGAUCUGAAAAUUUAAAUUAAAGCAGAAUCCUAAGAAGAAAGGAGCUCUAUUGAGAUCAGAAUUCCAUUUUAUAUGAAAAUUUGCCUAUCAGAUGGAGUCUUAUCCACCUUCUUACUCAUGUUUUAAUAUUAAAACAUAUAUUAAUUUGAUAAAAAAUGAUUAAAUAUAGAAAAUUAAACAAAAACAAUUAAUGAACACAAAACAAGGAAAAUUAAGCGUACUGAAAAUCUACAUCUGAUUCUAGCAAAUUCAGACACCAAAAAGAAAAAUUAUAGGAAAUAUAGAAAAAAACUUAGAAAAUUAUAAAAUUUUAUAGAGACAUGCUACUAAUAUAGAUUAAAACAACCAAAAAAAUUAUCUAAAAAAGGAUAUAUCAUUUUUGAGAUAUUGCUAUUGUAAUAUGAUCAUCAUAGAACUUGAUAGAUUCUGCAAACCGAUUUGUAAGACAAUAUGGCAAUAAGUUAGAAGUUAGAACAUAAAAAACUAAAAGCAUGAAAGAUUUGGAUGACUUCUCAAACUCCAUUUUAGGUUCAAGAAUUACCCAAAAAUAUCAAGAAAUAGAGAUAUUACUCCUCAAAUUCGCAGUACUAUUUGAGAAUACCUAGAAAUACUUAAUUGUUUCAAUAUAAUUUAAAAAUACAAAUCUUAUUCAAGAAAUCUCCAAAUUAAAUAUCUAAUGUGUGAAAAUUGCACAGGUUUUCAUGAAAUCCAAUAAAAAAAUAUUUAAAGAAUCAAAAUUUCCUAUAAUCCAGAUCAAUUUUCAAAUAACAGUAUAUUUCUCUUUUGAAGAUACACAAAAUGUAUGUUGCCCUCAAGAUAAUAUUCAAAAACGAUCUAAUGCAUCAAAAUUAAUCCAUGAACAUGUAAAGAGUUUUUUUGCCAUAUCUAAACUAAGAAAAGAAAGAAUUACCUUUAGAAGAAGAAGGAAAAAAAAAAAGAAAAAGAAAACAACACCUAGGAAGAGAGGACGAACGAUGAUGGCACUAUAGUGGCGCAAGGGAUGUGCUCUUAAUUCUUUUUCCUUCAAUGGCAAAAGGAAAAAUUCAGAGCAUGCUUGUGGAGAGGUGUCCGACUGUCAAUAUUCUUUUUUAGUGAUUAAUGAAUUAAUGAUUAGGGUUUAGGAAAUAUAGUUUUAUAGUGGUUUGAAUGGAUUAGUGUUUGCAUGGGGGAAAGAAGUCUUACUCCCUCUUAUUAUGCAUGGCUGCUUAGGCGUUCAAAAUGGAUUGAUUUGGCUUGCUUUUUGGUUCAAUUUUGCACUCUUGUCCAUCUCCUAAGAGUGUCGCCUAUAAGUUCAAAUAAUUAUAAUAUUUCUACCAUACUAAGACCUCUAAUGGCGCAUUCAGCUACUCUUUGGUUUUUCAAGCCUACUUCUCUAAUAUACAAUUUAUCCUUAUGAAGCCUAGAAAAGGAAGAGAAAAUACUAUUUUGUCCCUAGGCUCAUUUUUUUGUCUUUUCAAUUUUAUUUUUAUUCCAUUUUUAAUUUUUAAUUUUUUAUUUUAUUUUCUUAUGUCAUAAGAUACUCUUUUAAUGCUCUAAAAUUUAAUGUAAAAUGAAUUAGAAAUAUGAUGUGAUCAUUAUUGGACUCUUAUUAAUUCAGAUGUACAUGUAUUCAAGAGUAUGAAAAUUAGGGUCUACUGUUAGUGUGUGCCCUAGACCAUUAAUUUGAACCUUUAUAUUACUCAUUUUAUUAUUAAUAAAGAGGUUCAUCAUUAUUAUUGUUUGCAUAUUACAUAAUAAUGAUUUACAUCCUUGAUUCUUAUUAUUAUAGAGAUAAUAAUAUAUAUAACUAGUAUGCAUAUUGAUUGAUGAUUAUGAGAUGAUUAUGUGUAUUGUUAUGCAAAUCAAUAUCAUAGAUGCUUGUUAGAUAACAAAGUAUUGGAUAAACUCACACUGAGAUCACUAUAUGGAUUAGUGUUAUUAGUGAAUCUCAUAAUAGUUAUGAAUUAAUUUUUGGAUUUGAGAUUUUCAUAGUUUUCAACAUAAUGACUAUUAUAUUUUGACACAAUUAAAUGUUGUCUGUAAUUGGAUAAUUAUAAAAGUUAUGAUCGGGCAUGAUAGAAAUUAUAUAUAGGAUAUUGAACAAUCAAAAUAGAAUUUGUUCUUAUCUCUGAGUGAAAUAUCUUAUGGACCCCUCGAUAAGUCAGACCGAGAAAUGUAUGACCGUGCUCAAAUGAAUUGAUAGUGUGAUUAAUGACAUUUGAUUUUAUAGUCUACUUAGAGUUCGAGUAAUUAUAAGUUUGAACAUGACUUAUGUUCAAAUUAGAUAUCGUGUGACAAAGGAAUUAAUGCAUGUUCUGUUAUAUGGAUUUAAUUGGACAAUCAAUUCUCAUAUUAAUUGGGUAGUUAUAAUAUCUUAUUAGAGGCCACUUAUAACUUGUAGGUUUUAAUAAAGAUUGGGCCUACUGUCAAUUAAUGUGGGCCUAUCGGGUCAUAUACAAAGAAUACAUUAUUGGACUAAGCAUUAUUAAUGGACUUGAUGUCUAUUAAUCUGAUAUUAAUAAUAAUAUUAAUCUUUAUUAUUAUUAGAUAAUAAUAAUAUUAUUAAUAAACUAAUCUGUAUUUGAUAUGGAUUGGGAUAUCAACCGUUUCUUUCUCUAUUCAUUAGAAUUGAAUAAAUAUAUCAGCAUCUAUUUUUUGUUAGAUCAUAUGAAACAAAAACACAUUCUUUAAAAUAAAGAGAGAAUUAAGAAUUCAUGUACAAUUUUUUCUUCUGAGAGAAAAGGGAAAUAGAGUAGCCCUAGCCUUUUUUUCAAGAGCUAGCGCUCUAGAUAGCAAACAUUCGUGUGGAUACCAGCAGAGAGUGUUCGCAAGAAGUAACACCUAAAGUCCACUGAAUAUUUUGAAUAAAGCUUCUAAAAGGUUAGAAUUUGAAUCCUUCUUUUCUAAUUAAAUGGAUCAUUUGGCUCCUGGUAGGUAAUUUAGAGAUCAAAUUUUUGUUUCGCUGCGUAUUUUGAUUUGCUACGAUCUUUGGAUGAACUAACAACUGUUUGCCCAACUUCGGUGCAGGAUGAAUGAUAUUCAAGAUUCAUUAAAGUACUUUUGACAUAAAAUGAGAUUUGUGCUCACCGCCUUAUAUGGCUCGCUAAAUUUUCUUGAACAAAGGCAGAACUUGUGCAACAAAAAUUGAGAAUUAUGAUUGGUGAUUGUGAUUGUGUUUUCAAAGUUUGCACCAUGUUUUUCCAGGCUACCUACAUAUCUUCACUUUGGGAGGAUGAAUCAAACUCUCAUGUAGUUUAAAAAGCUUCAGGGUGUGUUUUGUAUCCUAAUGUAGAAAACAAAGUGACUUUGAGAUUUUGUGAUUUUGGGACUUCAUACCCAAAUUUACCCGGGCUACGUACGCAUGUUCCCUUUAAGAGGCAAAAUCAGACCCCACAUAGUUUAAAGCACUUUAGGGUGUACUUUGUACCCUAAAACUAUGAAAGAUGCAACAUGUGAUUUUUGAAGCAAAUUUAAAGGAUGCACUUUAUACCCUAGAGACUUCUAUGAGACGUAGGACGUGCUUUGUAUUUUAGAGACUUUUGAAAACCUUUCCAUGCUUGAUCAAGACUCAAUCAUUCAUUAUUUGCUCACUCUAGCAUAUCUUCAAAAUUCAUUCUUUUGGUCAUGCUUUCUCAAGCAUAUGUUCAAAGUUCAAACUUGCAUCCAUGCUCGCUUAAGCAUAUUUUAUAUUUCAUUCUUUUGUCUAUGCUUGCUCAAGCAUGUAUGAUUGCUCUAUCAUAUUUCUUAAUUCUUUCUUUUGUCCAUGCUUACACAUGCUUGCUCAAGCAUAUUUCUAAUUCUAUGCUUGCUCAAGCAUAUUUCCAAAACCCAAUUUAUUAUUCGCACUCGCUCAAGCAUUUCUUCAAUUCAUUAUGUUAUUUCAUGCUUGUUCAAGAAUAUUUUCAAAUUGAUUUUUUAUAUGUUUGCUUGCUCAAGCAUAUUUCUAAUCUCUUUUUAUUGUAUAUGCUUGCUAAAGCAUGCAGUAAAUCUAUUCUUGCAUUGAUGCUUGCUUAUGCAUCUCUUCAAACUCAUUUCCAUUCUUACUCAAGAAUUUUUCCAAUCUUUGAUUCAAUCAUAUUGUGGGGAUAGAAUUUUUUUUUUCUUGUAUAUAAUGAAAUGUGAUGAAUUCAAAUGCAUAAAUGCAAGCUCUAAAUCCAAAUUGAAAGUCAUAUAUCUUCUCCUUUAAUUGACAAAUGUCUCAUCAUCAAUAUUUGAAGCACAAUACGAACUACUUGUCCCCCUAUAGAUGGCAUUUUCUCUUGAUAUUUUUCUCUCUUUUUUCCUCUCUUUUCUUUUUCUUUUUCUCUUAUCUCUCUUAUUCUCUCUUUUCUCAAAGGACCAUGCUAAAAAAUUGAAUGAAGACACCCUCUUUGGUGUUAACCAAAUGCAUAUGAGAAGCUUUUCUUAAACCAUCACUCUUAAUUAUUGAUCUUUCAAGCUAUAUAGACGAUAUCAAAGAUGAUGCUACCUAGUAACUGUAUCAUUUGUCCUCUUCUUUUGUAGGUUUAUGUUUUUUUUUUUUCUCUAACUUGUUUCGAAUCCGCCCUUUGUAGGUUUUUAACUUAGUAGUCAUUUCUUUUUUUUCUUUCUUUCUUUUUUUCUUUUUCCUUCUUCUCUUUCUUUUGUUACUCUAAUUUUGGCCUAAGUCGUCCUUGUGAGUUUUCAACUCAACGAGCUUCUCUUUUUUUUUUUUUUCAUUUCUUUCUUUUCUAUGUCAUGACUGCAAGAGAAGUUGACACUUCUAGCUGCCCCAAGUAAGAUCAUUUCUUUGAUCUAAGACUUACGAUUCGAGGUGCUUCGAUGUAGAAAAUGCAAAACAGAAAAUGCAUAUUCACUUUCACCCAUUCCUAAGACAUCAUAUCCUUUGGGGACAUAUACAAAUAUUGAUAACCAAAUCAAAUGCCACUUUUAUAAAAGUAAUGAAUUAUCCUCAUUAAUUUAGUUACACCAUUACACCCAUUGUGUAUUACAUUUGAUUACAACUUAAUUUUCUAAAGUCUGAUGGAACUCAUAACAUGUCGAAUGUACCUUUCAAGCUUUUCAUUUAAAUUUUCUCUCACUCUCCUUUUUCCUAGACCACACUUUUAAGGAUUUUCAAUCUAGUAAAAUUAUUUUUUCUCUUAAUUUUUUUUUCUUUUUUCCUUAUCCCUAACUUUUGUCUAGGUUGUACUUUAUGGAUAUUCAUCCUAGUGGGCUUUCUCUCAAAUAAAACACUUUUAGUAUGUUCAAAUUUACUAAUCCUUUGAAGUCAUAAAUGUUAAUUUUCACCAUUCUUGAUAUUUUCCUUGGGUAAGGUUUGUUGUAUCGUAUGAAGUCUACCUCAGUUAUCCUAAAUCUGAUCCUUGAUUGAGAAAGAUGGGUUAAGCCCAUUCUGACAUCACAUUUUGACUCAUUAUCAUCCAUCAUAGUAGCAACAUCCACCAAGAGAUUGCCCUCCAUCCAUAUCAGUUCCACUAUCAUGUUCGAUGCAGACUAUGCCCAUCUUGAAUGAGUCAAUCUUUUUUUUUUUUUCUUUCUUUUUUGUUGAUCCUUUUUUUCCUUUUUUUUCUAUUCUCUUUUUUCUUUUGCUUUCCUUCACUGGAGAAGUUUUUUUUUUUUUUAAGACCGAUGCCUUUUAGACUUCUACAUCUUUUUCAAGUAAGGCUUUGCUUCCUUUUCUUAACAAACUUCAUUCUUCAAUCUACAGGCUUCUCAUAAAGGACAAUAGCUCCAUCCAUCUUAGACAGGGAGAAUAUUUUAAGUGCCUCAUUAUUUUUUAAUAUUAUGAGUUUUUUUUUCUUUCUUUUCAAGCUAAACAUGCAAUCAAGUUUUAUUCCAUAGGUGUACCUAAGUUAAUUGAAGAUAAAAUUUAAUACAUUAAUGAAAGUAGAUCUAAAUGACUAUGAAUAACAUGCAUUUGACCUUUAAGAUAGCAAAAAUACAAGUAAAAGUGAAAUACAUCAAACUUAUUCCUAGGCAUGCCCCAAGUUUGUUGCACGAAUUUAUCUUCAUCUUCUUAGGCCUUAGAGUCUUCAAGUGGGCCUUUAUUCUAGGUCCGCUAUUUUCUUUGCAUCAAUGAGGUCUUGGAUCUCAUCAUAAAGAAGUAUAUACUUAUUCCUGUCAUGGUUAGGAAUUUGAUAGAACUCACAAAAUAAUUGUCUUAAAAUUCUCAAACAAUGGAUUUAAUAGUGGAGCCAUCCGAGGUUGAAGUAGCUGUUUGUUCCUCAAUCUAGCAAGGUUGCUGCCAUAGGUUCACUUAACUUAGAGGAUCUUCUUGCAACUUGAAUUCUAGUGGAAACCUUAUCAUAGUGGAGACUCCUUUCAGUAUGUGUUGACCAAUUAAAGGGAUUGAGUCUAGUAGCUCUAUCAUUCAUCUUGUCUUCUUCUUCCACCCCAAUAUGAAACAAGUCCUCAAAAUUGGAGGUCGAAAAAUAAUAUAUCUUCUCAUGGUAAACUGGUAACAAAUUCUUAAUCAACGUUCUAAUUCGCUCCUUCUUUAUUGAUCAUUGAACCAUGAAUGCUACUUUCUUCCUUCAACACAUUAAGAACUCAACAAAUGGCUCAUCAAGCCUUUGCUUGGUGGCCUCCAAUUACCUUUAUGUAUACUAUCCAAUUAAUGCCUCAAUCAAGUUGUCCUAAUCUUUUCUAACUUCCUUUCUUAGAUUGUAGUACCAUGACACAAUAGCUACUUCUAAUGAUGGAAGGAAAAGUUUUAGUGAUUUGGUCAUCCCCUAAUGUUAUUUUCUUCAUGAUGAGCAUAUACUACUUCAUGUGGACAAUUGAAUCCCAAAGCCCAUCAAACUUGGGUAAAGAUGAUAUCUCAAACUUACUUGGCAGAUGUAUUUGCAUCUGGAGUCCCAAAUCCUCCAUGUCCUCUAUACUUUAAAGCUUGCGUUGAUUCAUAAACUCUGGUUCAACCUUCUCCAUCUUCUCCAUUGACCUUAUUGGUUACCUUCUCCCUUGAAUGACCUUUCCAUCACUUUUUUAUCCUCUUUCCUCUUUUAAAGGUCUUUUGGAUCUUGCAUCUUCCCUUAUUAGUUGCUUCUCAUAUGCUCUCUCCAUCCUGCUACUGAGGGCUUCUCAAGUAGUUCAUUAAUCAUAGCCUUAGUCUCUUCCCUCUCAGACAUUUCAAGCAGACCUAAUCUAACACAACAGUCCUUAUCAGCUUAGUCUUCAACAACUUGUUGCCAUCUCUAUUGGAACUGACUGUGAUAGGAGGCACUCUUUUGGAGAUGUAAUGGUUGUACAACACAAAGAGAUGGUAUGAUGUAUGAGUUAGAGUUAUGCAUGAAUGAACCUUUUAUUACUUGAUUGGACAUUGAUUAGAAAAAAUCAUGCUUAGAUUUUCUAACUGUAUGCACAAGAAUACGAUAAAAUGGAGUGAAAGAUAAAAGGAACUCAAUUUUUAUUGAUAGAAAAUUUUUUUAUUACAAACUGAGCUCUAAUGACCUUUGAUCUAAAUUUUUACAAAGUUCAUAUCCAUUCAAACGAAUAUCUUUUAGAGGAGAAGGGAGAUGUAUUUAAUCUUGUCAUUUUCAUCUUUGGGCAAGCUGAGCUUACCACCAUCAAGAAGAUCUUGAAUUUCAUGCUUCAAUCUAUAGCAAUUGUUAGUAUCAUGCCCAACUGUCUGGUGGAAUUAGCAGAAUACGUUGACAUUAAAAUUGGCUGGCAGAGGGUUUGGCAAUAACCUAGGUGCCAAGGGUUACAGCAGAUCUUUCUCUUGUGGGCUUCUCGAGCUAUCUUGUUAAGGGAUGCAGCUGAGUUCAUCGCCUUUUUCGACCUCCUUUUUAGUAUGAGGAACUAAGUAUCAAGCUCCAUAUUAUCCAUUAACAUCUUACACUCAUGAUCUCUGACCUUUAUUCUCUUAGCAUCCAAUUCUUAAAAAGCCUUGCAUAAUUCCUUCAUCUUUUAGGUAUUCCCUCCUCUUGACGUGACUUUCUAACCUUUGUGCAACCAAGUGGGUAAAAGGUUAAUGUCAUGUUAUGAGUAUACAUGAGUAUGUAUGAGUGUUCAUGAUGGUGAACUUUCAAAACUUUUUCUUUCUUUUUUUUUGGUUCCAUAUUAAAGAAACUAAGUGAACUAGGAUCAGUUAAGGCUGAAGAACCAAAGAAAUGCAAUCGCCUUCCUUAUCCCUCUAAUACUCACAUAUAAUAAGUAUAGAUAUCUUUAAUAUGCUAACACUUCAUAUUCCUAUGGCUCAUUGGUACAUUGGGCUUGUAUCAGUAGGGGAUUAUACCCUAGGAUGGUUUCUCUCCACUCAAUAAACAAUGACUACUUAACCUGAAAGUUGAAAAUAUAAGUAGGCUCAGUAACAUUCUAAAUUUUCUGGGUAAUGAAUAGUGUUAUCCCAAGUAGCAAAUAGUGCCACCCAAGAUUUUACUGGUACUUUUCUAUCUGUUGAUAAUAAUAGUCAAGAGAAUCUUAAGGAUUUAAUUUGAGGUUAAAAUAAAUUGAUAUGAUGAGUGAAAAACUCAAAAUAAAAAUUAGGGCACUGGAAUUAAUUGGUAUUUAAAAAAAAGAUAUAUAGAAACUCUUAAAAGAAAAUUUGAUUUGGGUAAAAAAAUCUAAAAUAGAGAUAAAAUUUUCUUAGACACAAAUUAAUAAUAUAUGUAAGGAUAAAAUUUUCUUAAACAUAAAUUAAUAAUAUAUGUAAGGAAAUAAUAGAGAAAUAAAAAAAUUUUAGUAAAAUAAAAUAAAUGUAACAAUACUAAUGAGAUAAAAUAAUAAGAAAAUGGUGAUGGAAUAAUAGAUUUAAGGGUACGUGUAUUUCUUUUUAAAAAAAAAAAAAAAAAAAGAGAUUGAAUUUAAACUUUCAUAUCAAAUAGUAGCUUUUUUAAUCUCAACUCUUAAAUCCUUUUAAAAGAGAUAAAAUUUAGAGCAAAGGACAAAAAUCCCCCUCCUUUCUUACUUAUUGGUCGAACCUCUCUUUGCCAUAGAGAAAAAAAAAUUUUCUCCUCCUUCCAAUCAUCUUGCACCAAAAUUUAUCUUAAAUCAAUUUCUCUCUUCAUCCAAAGUCACUCCUAAGUUAGACAUAGAAGAAAGAAGAUAAGGAAUCAAGAAAUUGUGAGUUGGAAGGUAAAUGAAUAGUAAAUUUCUAGUGAGAGAAAAUUAGAAAAAAACUUAAAAAUGAUUUAAGAAAACUUCUUCUUUCUUCUUUCUUACAAUUUAAAUAAUGGGUUUUUAAAUUAAUAAUUUGUUUUCUUUUAUUUUGUAUCUUUAUUCCAAAAAUCAAAGAAAUUUAGGUGUUAGGUAUUCUAAAGGAAAGAGAAGGCGACUAGAAGGAGGAAGAUUUUGGGCAUCUUUUUGGAGAAAUUUAAGGCAAGUAUCUCAACCUCUCUAAUUUCUUUAAUUUAUUCUUUAAUGAUUGAAUAAGAUUUAGGGCUUUUGCGUUAUGAACUUGAUGUUAUUAAAUUGAUGUUUGUAUAAUGUUGUUGGAAUAUAUAAUGUUAUAAAUAAAUGCUUGGUUGUGAUGGAACACAUUUUAAGAGCAAAAGCUUGACUGGGGUGAAAUUCUUAAAUGAAAUUUUAGGGCUAUAUGUGUUAUAAAUAUGAUUUUGCCAAAUUAAGGUUGAAAUGAAGUUGUUGGGUUAUUAAAUAUGGUGAACAAAAGUCCUCCAAGAGUGGGAGAAUAUGAAGAUAUUUAAAUGAUGUAAAAAUUUAUUAUUAUUAUAGUAUGUUGAAAUUAAAUAACUUGGGAGUUUCAAAUAGAAUUCAUGCAAUGUAUUAGUAUAUAGACAUAUACUUUAUCUUGUGAAUUAAUUGAUUGUUGGGGAAAAAAGCGAGAGAAGUGAGAGCUGACUUGGGUGAACUAAUUUUUCAACUCAUUCUAUAUGGCUUGAAGGGCCUAUACAAGAUUUGGGAAAUAAUUUGGGUACAUGGGAUAGGCAAUAACGGUAUGUUAUUAAGGACAAAGUUGAAAAAUAAUAAGUUGAGAAUUGAGGAAAAUAAUUGAGAUACAACAAUAGUUCGGCUAUCAAGCCUUACUAAUAUAGCAAAUUGUUUAGCUUAAUUGUCCGUUGGAUUUGGUCUUCAAAUCCUACAAUAUUAACUUUAAACCCUAUAACCUAGGUCUUCGGACCCUACCAUGUAGGACUUCAAGCCUUAGAGACAUGACAAUUUUGACCUACCAUUUGGCAUUUUGCACCCUAUAGAAUUUUCGCUUAAUGACAUUUAGCUUGUACCUAACAUGUUCUUAAUAGUUAAAUAAGUUUGUGAAAAAAUUUCCACUUAAAUAGAUGAAGUUUUCGCUUAAUGACAUUUAGUUUGUACCUAACAUUUUCUUAAUAGUUAAAUAAGUUUGUAAAAAAGUUUCCACUUAAAUAGAUGAAGUGUUGUGAUACAAGCUUUGCAAUAGUUACUAUGAAUUGCUUAGAUUUAUCACCUUUAAAUCAUAAGAAUAUAACUGUUAAAAAGGGAAGAGAUAUUUUAUUAUUGUAAGAAUACUUGAUUUUGAUUUUUGUGCAGUUAAUUGAGAAAAACCACUCACUUAAUGAUGCUAUGUCACUGCUCUUUUUACACUUCAUUGAUUCAUUUAACCUUGUAUUAUGUUUCCAAUAUUAUUAUUUUGAUUUUUAUUUUAUUUUAUUUGCAAACUAAUCCACUUGUAGGGAGUGUAAAAAGACCUCUUUUUGCUGUAGGACUGCAAUGAUCUACCUUAGAAUUUUUUUCAAAGUUCUAUAGGUGAAUAAAUGAACUCUUAGUUUGGGAUCAUCAUAUUAUUUGUAAACACCUUAUAAUGGCAUGUACACAUAAAUUUCUUUUUGGAUUGUAAGCAUAUUUUUUGAAAAUGAUAAUGAAAAAUUGUGUAGGAAUAGGAAACUUGUUAUAACUAAAUUUCUUUUUACAAAAUGAAUUAUGUAUUGAACUAUGGGAAUGAAGUUGGCAUGUUGGGUUUACUCGAAAAUUUGUUACCUAAUAAUAUAAUGGUUGAAUUCAUCAUAAGGUGAGAUAUUGGAAAAGUUGUGCUUCUAAAAUUAAAGUUGUUGAAAAAGAUGUUGCAAUUGAGCAUAUAUAUGUUGAAGUGCAGUUAAAAUUCACAGGAUAGUUUAUGUCUAAUUUAUAAGAGAAAUUCUACUGAAUUUUCAACUCAAAAAAACAAAUGUAUCAUAAAUUACUUGAGAAUCAAUCUUAAUACAGGAAUUUAUAAAAGUAAAAGUUAUAAAAUAUGAUAUCCCCAGCCUAUAUUAUCAAAUGGACUAGUAGGAGGUGUUACAUUUAGUGUUAUUAGAAACUAAUUUAUGCUUUUCUGGGAUAAUAUGUAUAUGCACAUGUACAUGCUAAUGGGAUAUGAACGAUAUAUUUGAAUUAUUGCUUACCUAGUUGUUUUAUUGGAUGUCAUUAGGAUUGUGACACGUUGUUGAUGAGGAGGUAAAGAGCCAUGUCCUUCUAAAGUUACGGUACCGGUAGAUGUGUCCAUCCCUCGUGUUGGGGGAGGAUCAGACCAAGAUGCUUUCUUCCAACAAUUGGUUGAACUAUUGAGAUGAUUUAUAGGGGCAACUUCGUAGGCUGCGGCUCCACCAACAGCACUAGUUCAAGCCCCUUAUCAACCUCUAGUGGAAAAGUAAAGAAAGUAUGAGCUAAAGAAUUUUUUAUGAAGAUAGAUGAAGAUUCCAGUUCUUUAGAACACUAGUUGAUGACGACUGAGAGAAUUCUGGAGCAGCUACAGAGUACACUAGGAGAUAGCCUGGUAUAUGUCAUCUCUUUAUCACAGGAAGAAGAAUAUGUAUGGUGGGAUAUUGUGUCCCAAAUUGUCUUCAAGGAGCGUAGGACUUGUGAGGAAAUAUGUGGGUGACCUAUUUCUGAAGGAUCAGAAGAGGGAAUUCCUACUCUUGAAGCAAGGGCAUAUGUCAGUAUUCAAAUAUGAGAGGCAUAUGUCAGUAUUCAAAUAUGAGAGAAAGUUGUAUAGCUGAGCAAGUAUGCCAAGGAAUUGAUUCCCACUAAAGAUGCUAGCUGCAAAAGGUUUGAAUAGGGACAGCACAUUGAGAGACAAGCUAUAUUGGUUAUGCAGUCUGACAAUGAUACUUCCACUUUAGAUAUGGUUGCUCUAUGACUCGCGGUUGUCGAAGCCGGUCAAAAAUAACCUCUACGGUUAUCAACAAUCUUACAACUGCAGAUAGUGGUAAAGGAUCGAAUCCACAGAGAAUUGAGUACUUAUCUAUUUUUCCCAAACAAGAUCAAUCAGAAUCAACUGAAAGCACAAUUGAAAGCAAGUAGAGCAAAAGUAAAGUGCAAUAAAGUAAAAAGGGGGGUUUUGAGAUUGAUUUGACUAACAACUAUUGAAAGCAAUUAAAACAACAAGCAAUUGAAAUAAAAGAGGAAAUCAAUAUGAGAAAAGUCUAGUUGAAGAUAUGGAUCCACUUUGGUUGUUAGGGUUGAUCAUUGAAACUUAUGUUCUUCUUGAUUGGUUCAAUAGAUUAGUUAUGGGGAUGGAAAACGCUUCUCACCACCAUGUAUCUCCUUAUGAUUAAAUCAAUUAGGGAACGUCCUCUAAUCAAUUACUAAUUAACAAAUUGCCAAGGAACGUCCUUGGGCCCUAGGCAUCAAAACAAUUGUCAAUUGCAUAAAGAAUGAGAGAGAUCCAACCCUAGCUACUCAAGCGCAUGAGAUGUUGCUAGAUCAUACAAAUCCUUAGUUUUUACACCAAGUGUUCUUAGGUCAGAAUAUUUCCAGCAAUUACGAACUAAAAAAUAUCCCAACUAAUAAUCAAUUAACUUUGCAAUCAAGAAUCAAGUGGCCAAUUUGAUCUAAACAACAAAGCAAUCUUAGAAUUAAGCACACAAUUGCAUGAAUAUUGAACAAACCAAAAGCAAACACUUUAUGUUCAAAUCUCACAACCCUUUAAACAACCUUAGUUUCAACCAAACUUCAACUAGAAUUAGGGGUUUCAGCCACUCAUGGCUGAACCAAAACAGAAAAUAGAAGAAAAGAAGAGAAGGUGAACCGGCGGCGGCAAAGGUGGAGGAGGAGCGGCGGCCGAACCUUGGAGAGGUUGGCAGAUUGAGUUCUUCAAGUCUGAAAUCUGCCACUUCUUGUCUUCAUAAGGCCUUUAAAUAAGUCUUAGGAGGUUUCCUAUGGUUUCUUGGAUGUCCAUGCAUCUUUUGGAGGUUGCCUAAAGUGCCCUUGGUCUAAUAUGUGCCUUUUAUGUGCAUUGCAAGGACUUUUUGGUCUUUUAAUUGUUGCCCAAGGUGUGUCCAAGAAGUCUUCUUCAUGCACUAAAGAGGAAGGUGGAGCCUUGUUUUGAAUUUUGAAUGUGCAUGGCAUGAAAUGGGAAACAUGUGAUCUUCAAGAUUUGGCUUCUUGAAUAAGGAAGAGGCUGUUCGGGGGGACUUUCGGCCGCCUAAGCUUAGUUUCGGGGGCUGGACUUUCGGCUCUGGAGCUGACUUUCGGCCGCCGAAGGUGCCUCCAAAGGUGGGUGACUUUCGGCUUCCGAAAGUGCUUUCGAAGGUGGUUUUUCCAGUUUUGGCACUUUUUGGCAGUUUUGAUAGCAUUUUCUCUUGAUUGUCUCCUUACACCUAAUAUCUGCAAAACAUGAUUAAAACCACAAAAUUAGGUAGAAAAUGUGUAAAUAAACAUCAAUAAGAUCAUGAUAAUAUGGACUAAAAUAUGCUCUAUCAAAUACCCCCACACUUAGCCUUUUACUUGUCCUCAAGCAAAUAAACAUAGUCAAAUAAGCUUUCUCUGCUCUAGAUCCUUAUUUCCACUUAAACUUUUACUGAAGAAACCUAUUUUGAAUCAUUGCAGUGAAGAAUAUAUGCAUGAAGAUUACUUACCUUCUUUCCUUGUUUCCCUUUGCUUACCAUGGCUAGGAUUUGUUUUCCUCAAGAGAGACCAUACAUGCACAUUAAUUUGUUAAGACUUUUUCUAGCUUUUGGAGUGACUUGCCCUUACCUUGAAGUACUUUAUUCAGGCUUUUGCACUUAGACUUUCCUUGAAAAAGUCACCAACCUUUUGACAUGAAGGUACAUAUUUGUGAUACCCACCCCCAGUUACUCAGUUGGUCACCUUUUCAAGUGGCUACUAGCUCUGUUCUUAGUCUUUUGACCAUUGGAACAGUUUUUGAUUUGUGCUUUUGAGGUCUUUGCCUUUGCUGAAUUUUCUUUCUCUCAAUGAUUUGGGCAAAUCAACACCAAUUGCUAAAACAAGUCACAUUAAGUUCAUUCACAUAACUUUCAAUUUAUUCUCUCUAAUGAGGGUCAUCAGUAUAUUUUUCACCAUGGCAAACUCAAAGAUUCAAUUCAAAAGGCAAUUCUCAAACAUGAAUACAACUCACUGCAAUUGAUUCAACAUAAGUUUAAAGAGUCAUCACAUCAAUGGGGUCAUGGAAAGAAAGACUCAUCCAACAUAGUUCAUCAGUUUGAGUAGAGCAAAACAAAAAGAAGAAGAAGGUUGUGGUUGUGUGUGUUUUAUUGAAAGCAUAAAUAACAAAAAUGAAAAAAUUUUCCUAAUGCAAGCAACUAAAGAUUAAAGCAAAAAUAAACUUAAAAGUAAAAAUUCAGAGAUAUGCACCCCCACACCUAAAUCAUGCAUUGUCCUCAAUGUAUAAGAAACAUAAAAGAACAAAGGAAACUGAGUACUCCCCUAGGUGUGGUGUGCAUAGUGCGAUCCUCUUGAUCAAGGCUCAAGUAAUUGGGGAAGGGAAAAGCGUCCCAACUGUAUUGAGCAAAAAAUGUAACACUCCUUUUGAUUUGGUCAUAACCCAUCCUACUUUUUCCAUGUACUCAUGAAGUAACAUGAUUAGCUUUUCCUUUUUCAGAUGAGGUGUGCCACUAGCCCUUAUGUUUGCAUUUUUUAGAUGAUUGGGAAGUACUUUGAACUCCAAUUCAUGUUUCUCCAUGUGUAACUGCAAUUUGGUACUGAAUUCAGGCAAAAUAAACUCUACCUUAUCCGGAGGUUUGGGAAGGCAUUGAUCCGCAUGGUCCUUUGGUUUAGGUGCUUGGAAUACCAUUUGUUCCUUGUGAGCAUGGGUUGGAUCUAUGGCUGAAUUGAUUUCAGUUUCCUCCUUCUGUGCAGGACCUACCUGAAGUGGAAGACUGAUCUGCGUUGGAAGCUGUGGUGAGAGGUUCGGCGGCCAAAAGGUGGUGGAGUUCGACGGCCGAAAGGUGGUGGUUUCAGUCUGUGCAAGGCUGAUCUGAAGAGAUGCGAUUGGAAGUGUUAUAGGACUGUCUUGCGCAAGGAGAUGGGGUCGCGCAGAUGGCGCAAGGGGUGUCUCGGAUGGGGCAAGCUCUUGUGCAACUAGCUUUUCUUCCUCAUAUCUGGCAUCUUAAAGCUCUUUUCCACUCCUCAGAGUAAUGGCACUUACGUUUUGUUUGGGAUUUGCCUCGGUUUGGGAUGGUAACUUUCCUUGAGCUUCGAGCCUGUUUAUGGAGGUGGCCAUUUGUCCCAUCUGCUGUUGCAUCAUUUGCAUAAUCUUUACUACCUCAUCAAGAGUAUUAUUGACAUUUGGAGGUGCUGGUUGAGCUUGACUUCUUUGAAAGUCUUGGUAGUCGUUAGCCUCUGCAUAACUGAAGUCUGGAUAGUCUCCCCAAUCUGGAUUGUAUGUGUGAUGGUAGGAUCAUAUUAUGGCUGUUCGUAGUAUCCUCCAAAUGCAUGUACUUGUUGGUCAUCCUCAUAAAGUGUAGGACAUUGGGAAGUUAGGUGUCCCACAUGUGCACAGAUCCUACAUGGCUGAGAUUGCUGAAUUCGUCGAGCCUGUAGAGCUAUGACAUAGCUUUCCACAAUAGAGGUUAGGUCAGGAAUUUGAGGAGGGAGAUUAUAUGUAAUUACCUCAUCCAUAAUUUAGAUCUGCGAUGGUGACUGUGCCAUUUGGUGAGGUGUUUGGCUGCUGGAGAAGGAAAGGUUCGGCGGCCGAAUGUUGAUGGGGUUCGGCGGCCGAAUGUUGGGCAAAAUGCUCGGAAGCUUGCUUUCCUAAUCUUCUGAGGCUGCGUUCAAUUUUUGGAUCAAAAGGCAGAGUGUCCCUGCGUUCAGAUCUGGUCAUGAAAGAAAAAUAAAUAAGUAAACUCAAUUCCCCGGCAACGGCGCUAAUUUUUGACUCGCGGUUGUCGAAGCCGGUCAAAAAUAACCUCUACGGUUAUCAACAAUCUUACAACUACAGAUAGUGGUAAAGGAUCGAAUCCACAGAGAAUUGAGUACUUAUCUAUUUUUCCCAAACAAGAUCAAUUAGAAUCAACCAAAAGCACAAAUGAAAGCAAGUAGAGCAAAAGUAAAGUGCAAUAAAGUAAAAAGGGGGAUUUUGAGAUUGAUUUGACUAACAACUAUUGAAAGCAAUUAAAACAGCAAGCAAUUGAAAUAAAAGAGGAAAUCAAUAUGAGAAAAGUCUAGUUGAAGAUAUGGAUCCACUUUGGUUGUUAGGCUUGGUCAUUGAAACUUAUGUUUUUCUUGAUUGGUUCAAUAGAUUAGUUAUGGGGAUGGAAAACGCUUCUCACCACCAUGUCUCUCCUUAUGAUUAAAUCAAUUAGGGAACAUCCUCUAAUCAAUUACUAAUUAACAAAUUGUCAUGGAACGUCCUUGGGCCUUAGGCAUCAAAACAAUUGUCAAUUGCAUAAAGAAUGAGAGAGAUCCAACCCUAGCUACUCAAACGCAUGAGAUGUUGCUAGAUCAUAUAAUUCCUUAGUUUUUACACCAAGUGUUCUUAGGUCAGAAUAUUUCCAGCAAUUACGGACUAAAAAAUAUCACAACUAACAAUCAAUUAACUUUACAAUCAAGAAUCAAGUGGCCAAUUUGAUCUAAACAACAAAGCAAUCUUAGAAUUAAGCACACAAUUGCAUGAAUAUUGAACAAACCAAAAGCAAACACUUUAUGUUCAGAUCUCACAACCCUUUAAACAACCUUAGUUUCAACCAAACUUCAACUAGAAUUAGGGGUUUCAGCCACUCAUGGCUGAACCAAAAUAGAAAAUAGAAGAAAAGAAGAGAAGGUGAACCGGAGGCGGCAAGGGUGGAGGAGGAGCGGCGGCCGAACCUUAGAGAGGUUGGGAGAUUGAGUUCUUCAAGUCUGAAAUCUGCCACUUCUUGUCUUCAUAAGGCCUUUAAAUAAGUCUUAGGAGGCUGCCUAGGGUUUCUUGGAUGUCCAUGCAUCUUUUGGAGGUUGCCCAAAGUACCUUUGGUCUAAUAUGUGCCUUUUAUGUGCAUUGCAAGGACUUUUUGGUCUUUUAAUUGUUGUCCAAGGUGUGUCCAAGAAGUCUUCUUCAUGCACUAAAGAGGAAGGUGGAGCCUUGUUUUGAAUUUUGAAUGUGCAUGGCAUGAAGUGGGAAACAUGUGAUCUUCAAGAUUUGGCUUCGGCCGCCUAAGCUUAGUUUUGGGGGCUGGACUUUCGGCUCUGGAGCAGACUUUCGGCUGCUGAAGGUGCCUCCAAAGGUGGGUGACUUUCGGCUUCCGAAAGUGCUUCCGAAGGUGGGUGACUUUUGGCUCUGGACGAGACUUUCGGCUUCCGAAAGUACUUCCGAAGGUGGUUUUUUCAGUUUUGGCACUUUUUGGCAGUUUUGAUGGCAUUUUCUCUUGAUUGUCUCCUUACACCUAAUAUCUGCAAAACAUGAUUAAAACCACAAAAUUAGGUAGAAAAGGUAUAAAUAAACAUCAAUAAGAUCAUAAUAAUAUGGACUAAAAUAUGCACUAUCACUCUAAGUAUAGAGAAGGCCUAGACAAACGAGUAGAAUCAAAAGCAGUGAGGAUAGCACAAGAGGGGACCACCAUAAAGGCAAUCACUAAUAUCUCAGCUAUCUAGUAAGAAAUUUAAGAAUGCUCCUCUUAAAGGGUCAUUGCAGAUGCAAAAUUUAAGAAUGCUCCUCUUAAAGGGUCAUUGUAACGACCCGAAAAUCGGACUGCUACCGGCGCUAGGAUCCAGAUCGGCAUAAGGCCGCCGGGACCCGUAGCAAGCCUGACAUGCAUCCAGUAAACCUGAUUAAUCCCAUACAUGAUCAACAACAUACAUAAAAAUUUGAACUUUUCUUUUCUUUUACCAAGCUCAACCUGUGCAUACACAUAAGCAUAUACAUAAACAUAAUAUAAACCCCACACUGGAGCUCUCAACAAAUGCUCCAAUGGGGCAUCUCAUCAUACACAAGCUUGGUAGAACAUAAACAUUAUAAAACAUAGAUCAUGUUUACAAAAGGGAUUACUAUACAACUCGGUCAAGCACAAUUUCUAAACCUCAAUUUCAAUCUCAACAUUACAAGACAUAACUAUUCGCAACAUUACAUCAUUUUACAAUUUAUCAUGUCCACACUCUAUCUAUUACAUACACAUAACUUCAUCCAUCUUGACCUCUCUGUCUAGUCCGUACCUACAACCCUGGGGGAUUAGGGAAAGGGGUGAUCUACUAGAGCCCAGUGAGCAGAAUAAUAAAACAUUUAAAAUCUCAUGUUCUCAUGUAAUGCAACACAUCACAACAAAUCACAUCAAGGAUGGUAUUGUCACCAAUAGUCCUCUACAUUCCAAAGUGCCGGGACGUAGAAUGGGUCAACCGGUCUUUCUCUUAAACAUAACAUAACAUAACAUUUCAAUGUGCCAGGGACGUAGAAUGGGUCAACCUGGACUUUCUCUUACAUAGUGCCAGGGACGUAGAAUGGGUCAACCUGGGCUUCCAUACCAUAUCAUGCCGUAACAUCAUCAUAUCAUAUGAGGACUAAAGGGUCAUCCAAUAACCAAUCCGCAUCAACAUCAUAAAAUGCAAUGCAACAUAUUCGUGAAUUCUAAUGCAAACAACCUAAAUCAUCACAUAGCAUUCAUGAUGCAUGAACAUGCUCAAAACUUUAUAAUUUAUUUGCUUUAAAACAUAAAAGGUUUAUUCUACUCACCUCAGCUAGCUCUGACAAUGACUGAAGCAGCUGAUUCACUGCUCGGGUCCUCGGUUCCUCGGGUCCGAACCUACACAGGUGGACUCAAAUGAGGGACCAAACAACUAGAACAUGACUCUAAAAACAUCCCCCAAAAACCCCCUAAAACACCUCAAAAAAAUCAUGCAAAACAUGCAAAAGAAGGCCGAACAGGGCACUUUCGGCGGCAGGUUCGGCGGCCGAAAGUCCCUCUAGAGCCGAAAGUUAGGCAGGUUCGGCGGCACCUUCGGCGGCUGAAACUCCCAGACAGAGACGAAACUCAUGCAUGUUCGGCGGUACUUUCGGCGGCCGAAACUGCCCUCCAGAGACGAAAGUCCUCUUUCGGGGGCAGGCUUUCGGCAGCCGAAAGGCUUGCCUCCCAGGCAAGUUCGGCGGCCGAAAGUCCUUCGGCUGCCGAACCUGGUUUCUGCCAAAAGGGCAGAAACUUGGUUCCUCAUGCACAGUUGCCUCCCAACCUUUUAGAUCAAGCAUACAACUCAUUCAAAACAUGAAUAGAUACAGACAUUAGCUCCUAGGGGCUUCAAACUAUCCUAAACCCCAUCUACAACACAUCAAACAAUCACAAACAUCCUACAUUGCUCAGAAACUUAACAUAACCCAUAAAACCAACCAAAACCUAAACAUGCAUUUCUACCCCAUAGAUCAACUUAAAACUUGUUUAAAACACAUAGUGAGCUCAAGAUCGGCCCUUACCUCUUGAAGAUCGAGAGGAAAACGACCCUAGCUCGGAGAUGGGAGAGAUUGAGUUUCUUGAACCUCAAAGCUCCAAAACUUGCUUUAUACUCGAAAAUCUUCAAAACAAAGUGAAAACUUGUAAAAAUCGUGAAAGAUUUGAAGGAAGAAACUCAAGAUCGGUGAGGGACGGCGGAGAGCUCACCUUGGCCGAAAAUGGGGAGAAAAACUCGCCCAUUUUCGGCUAAGGGACCCCUUUAUAGGUGGCUGGCCAGGCCACAUUCGGGAGCCGAACGUGCCUCCGCAUGCAUGUCAUGUUCGGCGGCCGAACAUAAUGUUCAGCGGCUGAACAUAAGGUUCGGCGGCCGAACCUGGACUUCCCUCACUUAGGCUUUCGGGGGCCUAAAGCCCUCCCGAAGCGCAUGCAUGUUCGGCGGCCGAACCUGGAUCUUCCUCCAAGAUUAUUUUCAUGCAAAAACUCAUUUUCUUUCUUGAUUAAAACCAUAAAACACAUUAAAACAUUUUAUGAAAACAUAGCUUUACCCUUCUAGAGGUCUCCGACACCCGAGAUUCCACCGGACGGUAGGAAUUCCGAUACCGGAGUCUAGCUGGGUAUUACAUUCUCCCCCCCUUAAGAACAUUCGUCCCCGAAUGUUCACCAAACAACACAUAGCAUGGCAUACACAUAACAUACAUACAAAGCACAUAAAAGUCACAAGAAACUAACCUUAGAAAAGAUAAGGGUAUUGCUGGAGCAUGGACUCCCUGUCUCCCAAGUGCAUUCUUCCAUAUUGUGGUGGUUCCAAAGGACUUUCACCAUCGGGAUUUCCUUGUUCCUCAACUUUCUGGUCUGGGUGUCUAUGAUCCGUACUGGCUGUUCAACAUAGGUGAGAUCUUCCUGGAUCUCCACAUCAGGCUCACUAAGAACCUUGCCCGGAUCUGACACGAACUUCCUCAAUAUGGAAACAUGGAAAACCGAAUGGAUUCUUUUCAUUGAAGCAGGUAAAUCCAGCUUGUACGACACAUUCCCAAUCUUUUGCAAGACUUCAAAGGGUCCAAUGUACCAUGGAGCCAGUUUACCUUUCUUCCCAAAGCGAACCACUCCUUUCAUAGGAGACACCUUGAGCAAUACCAAAUCCCCCUCCUGAAACUCUACUUGCCUCCUGCGGAUGUCUGCAUAACUCUUCUGUCUGCUUGCAGCAGUCUUGAUCCUCUCUCUGAUUAUGGGUACCACCCUGCUGGUGAUCUCUACUAGCUCAGGCCCUGCCAAGGCCUUUUCUCCAACCUCUUCCCAGCAAACAGGUGACCUGCACUUCCUUCCAUAUAAAGCUUCAUAUGGGCCAUCCCGAUGCUAGCAUGAUGGCUGUUAUUGUAGGCAAACUCCACCAAGGGUAGAUGCUGCCUCCAAGAACCGCCAAAAUCCAGCACACACAUUCUAAGCAUAUCCUCGAUCGUCUGGAUAGUCCUUUCUGAUUGUCCGUCCGUCUGUGGAUGGAAAGCAAUGCUAAAGUCCAACCUGGUACCCAUGGCAUUCUGCAGACUCCGCCAAAACCUGGAGGUGAACUGGGGUCCUCUAUCGGACACUAUUGAAACAGGAACCCCAUGCAGCCUGAUGAUCUCAUCAACAUACACCUGCGCCAACUUGUCCAUAGAAUAGCCACUCCUGACAGGGAUGAAGUGAGCAGAUUUGGUGAGUCUGUCCACAAUCACCCAUAUGGAGUCCAAUCUGUUGGACGCCGCUGGUAACCCCACUACGAAGUCCAUAGCUAUAUUCUCCCAUUUCCACUCUGGAAUAGGUAGCGGGUUAAGCAUUCCAGCCGGCUUCUGAUGUUCCAGCUUCACCCUCUGACACACUUCGCAGGCUGACACAAACUGUGCCACUUCUCUCUUCAUAGCUGGCCACCAAUAAACUUUCUUCAGAUCUUGAUACAUCUUGGUGGCUCCGGGGUGAACGCUGUAUCUUGCAUUAUGAGCCUCUCUCAUAAUGUCCCCUUUUAGCCCUAUGUCGUCUGGUACACACAAACGGCUCCCAAAGCGGAGGAUCUCCUUGUUGUCGAAUCUGAACUCACUAUCCUUGCCUGACUGAACCGCCCUGGCAAUCUUCACUAAUUCUGGGUCCUCAUGCUGUUUCUGAGCCACCUGCUCCAGAAACACGGGUACCACUCUCAUCUGAGCAAUCAAUGCACCUGUACCAGACAACUCCAACUGUAGACCUUCCUCAAUGAGCUUGUAAAACUCCUUCACCACUGGUCUCCUCUCCGCCGUGACGUGGGAUAGACUGCCUAGUGAUUUCCGGCUUAGGGCGUCUGCCACAACAUUCGCCUUACCCGGAUGGUACUGAAUCUUGCAAUCAUAAUCACUCAGCAGCUCUACCCAUCUUCUCUGUCUCAAGUUCAAAUCUCUUUGACUCAGGAUGUACUGCAGGCUCUUAUGAUCUGUGAAGAUCUCACAUUUAACCCCAUAGAGGUAGUGCCUCCACAUCUUAAGUGCAAAGAUUACUACUGCCAUCUCCAGGUCAUGUGUGGGGUAAUUCAACUCAUGCUUCUUCAGCUGUCUAGAAGCAUAAGCAAUCACCCUUUCAUUCUGCAUUAACACACAACCCAAUCCCACUCGGGAUGCAUCACAGAAAACUGUGAAAUCCUCAUUGCUAGCUGGCAAAGCUAACACUGGUGCUGAAGUCAACCUCUUCUUAAGCUCUUCAAAACUCUCUUCGCAUUGGUCAGUCCACACAAACUUCUGAUUCUUCCUGGUUAGUCUGGUCAGGGGAGUUGCAAUUUUUGAGAAGUCCUGAACGAACCUCCUGUAGUAACCUGCCAAACCCAAGAAACUCCUGAUCUCUGUCACUGAAGUGGGUCUAGGCCAGUUAGCCACAGCUUCUACCUUCUUGGGGUCAACCUCUAUUCCAUUUUCCGACACCACAUGCCCCAAGAAUGAAAUGCUCCUCAGCCAGAACUCACACUUGGAGAACUUGGCGUACAAGCCAUGUUCCCUCAAGGUCUGCAGAACUAACCUCAGAUGAUGGGCAUGCUCCUCUGCAUUCCUGGAAUACACUAAGAUAUCAUCUAUGAAGACAAUAACAAAGUGAUCCAGGUAUUGGCUAAACACUCUGUUCAUGAGAUCCAUGAAUGCUGCAGGGGCAUUGGUUAACCCGAACGGCAUAACAAGGAACUCAAAAUGCCCAUAUCUGGUCCUGAAAGCUGUCUUUGGCACAUCUUCCUCUCUUAUCCUCAGCUGAUGGUACCCAGAUCGCAGAUCUAUUUUGGAGAAACAACCCGCUCCUGCUAGCUGGUCGAAUAGAUCAUCGAUCCUUGGCAAUGGGUACUUGUUCUUAGUAGUGACUUUGUUGAACUGCCUGUAGUCGAUACAAAGUCUAAGGGAUCCAUCCUUCUUCUUCACAAAUAGAAUUGGAGCACCCCAAGGUGAGGUACUCGGUCGGAUGAAGCCCUUUUCUACCAGCUCUUGCAAUUGUUCUUUCAAUUCUUUCAACUCAGCUGGAGCCAUCCUGUAGGGAGGGAUAGAGAUCGAUCGGGUUCCAGGCAUCAAUUCUAUCUCGAACUCUAUCUCCCUAGCAGGUGGUAAACCUGGCAACUCGUCUGGGAAGACAUCUAAGAACUCUCUAACCACUGGCACCGAGGCGGGCUCUCAAACCUGACUGCUAAGCUCUCUCACAUGAGCCAAAUACCCCUGACAUCCCUUCCUAAGCAACCUACGAGCCUGAAGAGCUGAUAUCAGACCUCUAGGUGUACCCCUCCUGUCUCCCCUGAAGACAACCUCUGACCCAUCCUGACCUCUGAACCUGACUACCUUGUCCCUACAGUCCAAGGUAGCACCAUGGGUAGAUAACCAGUCCAUCCCUAGAAUGACGUCAAAAUCUGUCAAGUCUAGAACCACAAGGUCUGCGGAAAGGCAUCUUCCCUCAACAAAGACUGGAUUGCACUGGCAGACUGACUCUGCCACUGAUGGAUCACACUUGGGUCCACUGACCCAGAGAGGACACUCUAACCCAGAGAUCAUCAGACCCAACCUCUCUACGGCUCUCGGAGCAAUAAAAGAAUGAGAUGCACCAGGGUCCAUCAAGGCAUACACAUCUGAAUAACCAAUGACUAAGUUACCUGCCACCACGGUGUUAGAUGCAUCUGCCUCCUGCUGAGUCAUCGUGAAGAUCCGUGCUGGAGCUGAUGGACCUUCACCUCUGAAACCCGCUGAAGAAGAGGCUAACCCUCUCCCUCUGCCUCUGCCACUGGCUUGAGUCGUGGCUGGAGCUGCUGGCUGCGCUACGCUACCUGAAGCUGUCUGCUGGGACUGAGCCAUAGGUACUGUCCUAGGACACUCCCGAGCCAUGUGUCCCUCUUGCCCACAUCUGAAGCAGGAUGUUGUCCCAGCCCGGCAAACUCCCUUGUGUGGCCUACCACACUUUGCACAAACUGCAUUAUCCGCACCAGAGCUUGAGCCACUCCCUAGUCCCAGACUGGACUUGAUCUUGUUCCAAAACUUGUUCUUCUUGGGCUUCCUAGUGGUGUUACCCCACCUUUUGCUACCUGAAGCUGCUGCACUCAGAGAAGAAGAGCCUGGGGUCUUAGAACCAAAGGGCUGUGCCACUGUCUGUUUAACUGUCCCUUGAAUGAUGGCACUGGCCUCCAUCUUCCGGGCCAUAUCCACUAUGGCAUGGAAGCUCUCCCUAUCUACUGACUGGAUCAAGGAGGAAUAUCUGGAGUGGAGUUUCAUGAUAUACCUCCUUGAUCUCUUCUGGUCCGAGUCAAGAUUUUGCCCUGCAAAUGGCAACAGCUCCAAGAACCUGUCUGUGAACUCAUCUACACUCAUCUCUACUGUCUGCCUUAACUGCUCAAAUUCGAUCAUCUUCAGCUCCCUUGAACUAUCGGGGAAAGCCCGUCCUGCAAACUCGUUUUCAAACUCUUCCCAAGACAUGCUGUCCACCCUCGGGUUCACAUAAUUUUUAAACCACUCACGGGCCUUUUUGCAUUUGAGUGUGAACCCAGCCAUCUGAAUGGCUCUGCUGUCAUCAGCUCCUAUCUCAUCAGUAAUCACCUUGACUCUCUCAAGGUAUACAAACGGGUCAUCCCCUUUUUCAUACUGAGGGGCACCAAGCUUCAUGUAGUCGGUCAUCUUGACCUUGCUCCCACCAGAUGAGCUAGGCUUAGGUACUGGGGUUUCUGGAACUGUGGGUUCUGCUGGUGGAGGAGGAGGAGCAGCAUCCCCUAGGGUAGGGUUUGCUGGAUUUGGAUAGUAAGGUGGAGGUGGGUACAUGGGGUACUGUGGGUAUGGUGGGUAGUAAGAUGGGUAUGGCAUGUGAGAAGGGUAAGGAUUAAAGCUGGGGUAAUCCGAUGUACCUCCCAUCGAAUACCCGGGAUUUUGAGAAAAGGGUGGGUAGUAAGGUGGCUGAACAAAUCCCGAGGCCUGAGUGCCUCCUUGGGAUUCUCCCAUUCCCUCUUCUGACAUGCUAACUCCCAGACUGCCAUCCCUCCUCUGAUCCACAUCCAUCUCAUCCCCCAUAUCAACUGACAUUCCUCCCUGAACUGUUCCCCUUACUGAUCUGCUUCCACCCAGAUCCAAAGACCUUCUAGGGUCUCUUACUGCUCUUUCUCUGCUGGACCUACUUGACAUUGCCCUAGGCAAUGCAGGAGGACGGGCGCUCGUGCCCUCAUCCUCAGGUGGUACUCCAGUCAAUCGUGCAGAUCGACGAGUUCCUCUCAUCCUGUUUCUGAAAAACAGUACACAUUACACAAACAUUAGCAUCAUAUGGUUCAUGUGAGCACACAUGAACCCGCAUCACAUGCAUAUCAUACAAAACAUAUCAUUAAUGCACAUGCACAUUAUCAUGGCAUUUCACAUCAGCAUACAAGACAGGACUCCACAUCCUAUCCUAGUGGACAUGAUCUUUCCUAUUGUGCUUGGCCUUCUAUAACAUCUAUGAGCCCGACACUCUAGGUCCGACCAUAUGAACCUAGGGCUCUGAUACCAUUCUGUAACGACCCGAAAAUCGGACCGCUAUCGGCGCUAGGAUCCAGAUCGGCAUAGGGCCGCCGGGACCCGUAGCAAGCCUGACAUGCAUCCAGUAAACCUGAUUAAUCCCAUACAUGAUCAACAACAUACAUAAAAAUUUGAACUUUUCUUUUCUUUUACCAAGCUCAACCUGUGCAUACACAUAAGCAUAUACAUAAACAUAACAUAAACCCCACACUGGAGCUCUCAACAAAUGCUCCAAUGGGGCAUCUCAUCAUACACAAGCUUGGUAGAACAUAAACAUUAUAAAACAUAGAUCAUGUUUACAAAAGGGAUUACUAUACAACUCGGUCAAGCACAAUUUCUAAACCUCAAUUUCAAUCUCAACAUUACAAGACAUGACUAUUCGCAACAUUACAUCAUUUUACAAAUUAUCAUGUCCACACUCUAUCUAUUAUAUACACAUGACUUCAUCCAUCUUGACCUCUCUGUCUAGUCCGUACCUGCAACCCUGGGGGAUUAGGGAAAGGGGUGAGCUACUAGAGCCCAGUGAGCAGAAUAAUAAAACAUUUAAAAUCUCAUGUUCUCAUGUAAUGCAACACAUCACAACAAAUCACAUCAAGGAUGAUAUUGUCACCAAUAGUCCUCUACAUUCCAAAGUGCCGGGACGUAGAAUGGGUCAACCGGUCUUUCUCUUAAACAUAACAUAACAUAACAUUCCAAUGUGCCAGGGACGUAGAAUGGGUCAACCUGGACUUUCUCUUACAUAGUGCCAGGGACGUAGAAUGGGUCAACCUGGGCUUCCAUACCAUAUCAUGCCGUAACAUCAUCAUAUCAUAUGAGGACUAAAGGGUCAUCCAAUAACCAAUCCGCAUCAACAUCAUAAAAUGCAAUGCAACAUAUUCGUGAAUUCUAAUGCAAACAACCUAAAUCAUCACAUGGCAUUCAUGAUGCAUGAACAUGCUCAAAACUUUAUAAUUUAUUUGCUUUAAAACAUAAAAGGUUUAUUCUACUCACCUCAGCUAGCUCUGACAAUGACUGAAGCAGCUGACUCACUGCUGGGGUCCUCGGUUCCUCGGGUCCAAACCUACACAGGUGGACUCAAAUGAGGGACCAAACAACUAGAACAUGACUCUAAAAACAUCCCCCAAAAACCCCCUAAAACACCUCAAAACAAUCAUGCAAAACAUGCAAAAGAAGGCUGAACAGGGCACUUUCGGCGGCAGGUUCGGCGGCCGAAAGUCCCUCCAGAGCCGAAAGUCAGGCAGGUUCGGCGGCACCUUCGGCGGCCGAAACUCCCAGACAGAGACGAAACUCAUGCAUGUUCGGCGGUACUUUCGGCGGCCGAAACUGCCCUCCAGAGACGAAAGUCCUCUUUCGGGGGCAGGCUUUCGGCAGCCGAAAGGCUUGCCUCCCAGGCAGGUUCGGCGGCCGAAAGUCCUUCGGCUGCCGAACCUGGUUUCUGCCAAAAGGGCAGAAACUUGGUUCCUCAUGCACAGUUGCCUCCCAACCUUUUAGAUCAAGCAUACAACUCAUUCAAAACAUGCAUAGAUACAUACAUAAGCUCCUAGGGGCUUCAAACUAUCCUAAACCCCAUCUACAACACAUCAAACAAUCACAAACAUCCUACAUUGCUCAGAAACUUAACAUAACCCAUAAAACCAACCAAAACCUAAACAUGCAUUUCUACCCCAUAGAUCAACUUAAAACUUAUUUAAAACACAUAGUGAGCUCAAGAUCGGCCCUUACCUCUUGAAGAUCGAGAGGAAAACGACCCUAGCUCGGAGAUGGGAGAGAUUGAGUUUCUUGAACCUCAAAGCUCCAAAACUUGCUUUAUACUCGAAAAUCUUCAAAACAAAGUGAAAACUUGUGAAAAUCGUGAAAGAUUUGAAGGAAGAAACUCAAGAUCGGUGAGGGACGGCGGAGAGCUCACCUUGGCUGAAAAUGGGGAGAAAAACUCGCCCGUUUUCGGCUAAGGGACCCUUUAUAGGUGGCUGGCCAGGCCACUUUAGGGAGCCGAACGUGCCUCCGCAUGCAUGCCAUGUUCGGCGGCUGAACCUGGACUUCCCUCACUUAGGCUUUCGGGGGCCUAAAGCCCUCCCGAAGCGCAUGCAUGUUCGGCGGCCGAACUUGAGGUUCGGCGGCCAAACCUGGGUCUUCCUCCAAGAUUAUUUUCAUGCAAAAACUCAUUUUCUUUCUUGAUUAAAACCAUAAAACACAUUAAAACAUUUUAUGAAAACAUGGCUUUACCCUUCUAGAGGUCUCCGACACCUGAGAUUCCACCGGACGGUAGGAAUUUCGAUACCGGAGUCUAGCCGGGUAUUACAGUCAUUGUAGAUGCAAAGGACAACACAAAGAUUGAUAUAGGGUGUUAUAUUGAGGUAUAGGCAGCAGACCACAUCAAUAUCAAGUACUGAGAGCAAUGGUAAAGUGGGGACACCAGUGUGUAAACACUACCGCCAGAGGUAGGCUAGGACAUAUAGGAAGCUCAUAGGCUCUUAUUUUAGAUGUCGAUCUACAAAGCAUUUCAUAAAGGACUGCCCUUAGCCACAUAUCGCCACCAACUCCACUGUUGGAGAGACUUGCCUCUGUUGCUCAAGGGGGCAGAGGUAAAGGUAGAGCCUAGAUGAGAGGAAGUGUCAACCAAAGACAGUAGAUAGGACCAAGACCAGGGCACUAGCCAAAGCAUACACCAUCCUAAUAAGAGAGGAGAAGGAGUCCUAAUAUCGUUGUAGGUGCAUUUUCUAUUUUUGGGACUCUACUUCAUGCAUUAAUAGAUAUAGAUUCCACAUGCCCCUAUAAUAGCCUACCUUUAUGACAUGGGUUAGAUAUAUGGUAAGAGAGUCUAGAAAGUGAAAUAGCAACUACUAACCUACUCGGCCAUAAUAUUAUAGUAAAUCAAGUGUACCAAAAUUGCCUCCUAGCGAUCCAAAGAUAUGAAUUUCCAAGAAAUCUAAUGGAGUCACCUUUUUUAGAAUUCGAUGUGAUUUUAGAGAUGGACUAGUUUUCCAGGCACCAAGUAAUAGUGGAUUAUCGAAUGAAAAGAAUCAUGUUUAGAUCUUUAGAUAGGAGCGAAGUAGUGGUAGUUAGAGAAAGUCUAGAUAUCCUCUCGAAUAUUAUAUUGGCUACCAUAGCUAGGAGAUUAAUUAGGAAGGAUUGUGAAACUUAUUUGGCCUAUGUGAUAGAAUCUAGGAAGGGAAAUCCUAACAUCUAGGAAAUGCCCACAGUUUGUGACUUUCUAGCGAUUUUCUAGGAGAGUUUCCAGGAUUACCACUGGAUAGAAAAGUAGAGUACACUAUAGAGGUGAUUUUGGCUAUAGCCCCUUAUUAUAUGGCUCUCGUAGAGCUAAAAGAGUUGAAGAUUUAGCUUUAAGAGUUACUUGAUGAGGGCUUUGUUCAUCCUAAUGUUUCACCUUAGGGUGCACCCAUACUCUUUAUAAAGAAGGAAGAGUCUCUCUGGCUAUGCAUUGACAAUUGAACAAGGUGAUAGUGAAAAAUAUAUACACUUUGCCUUACAUGGAUUACUUUUUUUAUCAACUGAAAGGGUUAAAAGUGUUCUAAAAAAUAUAUUUUUGUACUACAAUUGACAGUUAAAGAGGGAGAUAUGCCAAAGACUACUUUCAUAAGUCGUUAUGGACACUACAAGUUUUUUGUAAUGUUGCUCAUGCUCACAAGUGCCCCAACUACCUUUAUAGACUAAUGAAUUUUAUUUUUCAUCCAUACUUAGAUCAAUUUUUGGUAGUGUUUAUUAAUGAUAUAUUGAUAUACUCUAAGUCUAGAAAAGAACAUGAUGAGCAUUUGAGGGUAUUUCUACAAAUUUUAAAGGAAAAGCAGUUGUAUGCCAAAUUUAGCAAAUGUGAAUUUUGGCUUAAUUAGAUAUCCUUCCUCAAUCAUAUAGUAUUCAUAAAGGGAAUUACAAUGCAUCCAAGGAAGUUUGAAGCCAUCAUAAAGUGGAAACACUAAAGAAAACUAUAGAGAUUCAGAGUUUCUUAGGAUCAACAAGAUACUACCGGCAGUUUGUAGAAGGAUUUUCCCUUAUUGUAGCACUUUUAACGAAAUUGCUUCAUAAGAAUGUAAGGUUUGAAUGGAGUUCUAAAUGCGAGAAGAGUUUUGAAAGAUUAAAGACAAUGAUCAAAGAAGCCCCCAUCCUUACUCAACUAGUGUCACGAAAGGAUUUUAUAGUGUACAGUGACACUGCUCAUAACGAUUUAGGUUGUGUACUCAUGCAAGAAGGUAAAGUAGUUUUGCCUAUGUAUAGAGACAAUUGAAAUGGCAUGAGAAGAAUUACCCCAACCAUGACUUGGAGCUCACAACUAUUAUUAGAAUCUCAAAUACUUACCAACACAAAAGGAGCUUAACCUCAGACAAAGAAGGUGUUUGGAGUUGCUUAAGAAUUACGAUUGCAUCAUCGACUAUUAUUCCAGUGAUGGGUGUCGAAGCCACUAAAAAUAACCUAUUAAAUAUCAGUAAAUAUGAAUUGUAUAUAGUAAUAAUAAGAUCAAAUCUACAGGGAAUUGAUACUAAGAAUUUUCAAACAAUUACUAGGAAAAAUAAACAAUAAAAAUAAAAAAAAAGGAGUUUUGAUAAUGAGUAAAAAUAAAAAUUAAAGUAAUUAAAAAAGCGAUAAUUAAAAGAUAAAUAAAUCAAUAUAAAUAAGUUCUAAUUGAAGUGUAAGAUCCAUUUCAGUUUGAAAAUUGAUUAUCGAUACAAAAAUACUUUUAUUCAUUUCAAUAAAUUAGUUAUAGUUAUGGAAGAUGCUCCACAUAACCAAUCUCUUCUUAGAUUUUAAAUUAAUUUAAAAAAUAUUCACUAAUUAACUCCUAGCCAAUAAAUCACCCAAAGAACGUCUUUGGGAUUUUAAUUUAUGAACUGCUUUAAGUAUUAGAGAGACUUAAUUCUAACUAACCAGCCGUAUGGAGAGUUUGAGUUAGAUUAUGCAACUUCUUAGAUGUUACACUAAUUAUUACUUGUAUUUGAAUAACCUAAGCAAUUAUGGACUUUAAGCAUUCAAACUAACAAUAUAUUACUUUGAAAUUAAGAAAAACAAGUCCUAAAUAACAAAGAAAUAAUAAUAUGUAGAACAAAAUUUGUAUAAAUAUUGAAGAAUAAAAGAUGAACAAUUGAGUUUAGAUCUCCCAAUUCAUGUAUAAACUGAAAAUUUCACCCUAACUUCAACUAGAAAUAAAAAGUUUAGCCACUCAUGGCUUUUGAAAGAAAAUAUAAAAGAGAAAAGAGAAGAUGAAGGAUCAGUGCUGGUGAGAAGAGAUCUGAUCUGCCGUUGUCCUCAAUGAUUUGGCUUUAUAUAGGUGCUUACCCCUAGCAAAGUCCUUUUGGGAAUAGAAAUUCUUCUUUGAUUUGAAUUAGAAAUCCUUUCUUUAAUGUUUUUCUUCAAGAAUAGAACUUCUUAAUUUGAGGAAGACUUGAUGUUGCAUUGAUGGAGGAGAAUUCGCGCAAGCCCAUAGCUUUUAAUGAGAAGAUCAAGUCUCUAUAUUUUCAAAUCUGGAUUUUUUUUUGCUCACUGUUCAAUUCUAUGCAAUCUAUCGAUUUGCCCAAUUGUUUUGGGCAAAUCCACUGUCUGAAAGUGUUUUACAUAGCUUGUAGGUCUAAGCAGUUCCUGACUUUUGUGUAGUACAAUCAUAUGAAAGGUUUGCCCAAAUUGGUUGGUCAUGUCAGUUUCAGUACUUUUAAGCCACUUUUCAUCAAAUCUUCUUCUCUUUUUGCUUUUCUGCAAAACAUAGCUAAAAAUAAAAAUUUAGCUAGAAAAAUACUUAAUUAAGUGCUAAGAAUAGUAUAAAAAAUGUGUGGAAAUUACGUUCAAUCAAAUAUUCCUACACUUAAACCAUGCUUGUCCUCAAGCAUUCAAAUAAUUUAGAUAAUCUACUGCACUCUUUCAUCUAGACUUUUGGAUUGAAGCACAAUAGUAUACCAACAUGCAUAUAACUAAUAAUCUCAAGAGUCACAAAACAAGCAAUAAUCCUAACAGAAUCUUUGACAUAAAUAGGAGAGUUUAAGCUAUUCACACUCAAUCACACAAAUAGUUAAGUAGUAUUCAUGGAGUAGUCACUAGACCUCACUUUAGCUAAUUCCAUUGAUAUUCAAAGCUGGUUCUUAAGUCUAAAAAUAAAGUAUCUAAGACUUUUUUAUUUAUUAUUUAUGCAUACUUAUUCAUCUCUUGCUUGGAAUGUCAUUACUCUUUUGACGCGAUGGUACAUAUUUGUGAUACCCACCUCCGAUUACUCAAUUGGUCAGAAUUUUCAAGUGGCUACUAGUACUACUUAUGGUCACUUAACCAGCAGAGUAGAUUUAUUUUGUGCCCCUUUUUUUUUCUUUGGUGCCUUGAACACUUUAUUUAUUGACAAAAGUUCCAUAAAAAUUAAAAAUUCAUUACUUUAACAAGCCCUAGUUAUACUCCACUAGUGCCUUAAUCAUGCAAGCACACACAUCUUAUUCAAGCUCAACUAUUUAUGCUUAAAGACAAUUAUUAAAAAUUAUUGCAAGCAAUAUGAAAAUCGAAACAAUCACCAAUAUAAAUACUAACAUACUGUUUAUGAUUCAAUCCAAAUUUCAAGGAGUUCAAAAGUGAGUGGAAUAGUCAAAUUGCAAUCCUAAGCCAAAAUUCUUAUUAAAUGCAUAGAAAGAAAUAAAAGGAAAUGCGUGAAAAUUGAAAAAUAAAUAAAUAAUAAAAUGAAACAUAUAUAGUUUUUCUCCCCACACUUGACCAAUACAUUACCCUCAAUGUGUGCAAAAAGCAAAAAGUGAUACAAAGAGGGUUAGAAUAAUACUCCCCCGUUCAAGUUGAUGUGGGCAAGGCAUAAGACAAAGCUAAAGUAAAUGGUGGAGGGAAAAGGAUCCCAACAUAAUUAAGUAAGAAGUGUAGCACGCCUUUUGUCUUGGUUAUCACCCAUUCUAUUUCUUCCAUGUACUCAUGAAGUAACAUGAUUAGUUUUUUUCUCUUUUAAGUGAAGUGUGCCUCCAGCCCCUAUGUUUGAAUUUUUGAGGUGACUGGGUAGUACUUUGAACUCCAAUUCAUGUUUCUUCAUAACAGGUGACUGCAGUCUGGUACUGGAUUUGGGCAAAUCAGUUCUGGGCAGUGGCAGAAUGUUGUCUAGAGCAUGAACAGUCUCUUGUAACUUUUUAUCAGCCACGAUUUGCUGAUUUAAUGGCUUUGAAUCAUACAUGUCCAUACCCCUGUAUUGAGCAUUAGUCAACUUGUCAUCAACACUUAAUUCAAAUGUAUUUUGGCUCAAAGUAUCAAGAACAUAUAUACCAUCAACAUUAGUUACAUCACUAGGAAAUUUCAAAGAAGCAUAAGCAUCAAAUUUAAUAACUUCUCUAUCAAAUUCUAUAGUGAGAGUACCAUCAUGCACAUCUAUUUUAGUUUUAGCUGUGCUAAGAAAAAGCCUACCUAACAAAAUAUCAGAUGUAAUAUUAACUUUAUCCUCUUUCAUAUCAAUGAUGUAAAAAUCUACAGGAAAAAUUAACCCAUCAACUUGGACUAUGACAUUUUCAAAAACACUCUCGAUAUACACAAUAGAUCUAUCAACAAGUUGGGUGACAACACCUGCUUUUUUUAAGAGACCAACAUUCAAUAAAUUAUAAGUAGAUAAAGGCAUGACAUUAAUUGAGGCUCCAAUAUCAAACAUAGCUGAUACAAACUAGCAAGCACAAUCACAUGAGAAUCAAGGAAGCAAGGAUCCAUUGGUGCUUCCUAGUGGACCAGCGAUAAGGAGCAAAGCUAAGAAGUUUGAAGCAGCUAUGAACUUAUACAUUCAAGAGCAAGUAACACAAGAAUUAACUGAGAUUGCCAUUGGCAAAUGUCUCGUGAAACUUUAAGACAUUGUGAUAUGCUUCCUAUUUCAUCUAUAUUGUCUUACUUAUCUCAAUUGAUGGCUGUAAUUUAUGAGAAUCAAUUUUGAAUUUUGAAUUGAGUUGAAUCCAGAUUAGGAGACAAAAGAAAUUCUGUCUAUUUUCUAAAGUACGUAUUUAAGGCUAUUGCAUCUAAAUUGAUUUGAUAUCAAAUCCUUCUUUUAAGACCAGAAAAUUUGUCCAUGAUGCUGAACUGAGUGAAAUUUAUUAUUAUUUUUUUAUUCUAUUUGUGGGAUUUUGAUACUUGCCUUUUUUAGUAGAUUUGAAUAGAUCCAUAUUUAAUUUGCUUUGAAGUGAAUUAAAUUCGAACUUUUGUCCAGGUUCAUUUUUAUUUGAAUUCUAAGUUUCUGUUUUUUUGUUUAAGCUAGCUUUUGCUUCUUGAAAUUGCUAGAGUAAUGUUUGCUUGUGUCUAUACUGUAGGUGAUAAUUUUCAAGUAGCACAAUGAUGCGGAACCCCAGCCUAUUAAAGACUGGAAUGACACAUACCCUAGUAAAAAUAACUUAGUUCAGAAAAUAAUUCCCCAAUCUAAAGCACCCUUAAUAAACAUGCAAUUAAGAACACUUAUAACUGAUUGAUUUUAAGAGCAGCAAGAAUAAGAAUUAUCAGUAGGUAUCAAUAUUAGAAUGAAGUUUCAGCAAUUGAUCCAAAGUUGCAGAAAUUGGUAUUUUUUUUUAUGGACAGAAGUAAAACACUGGAAAUACUAUUCGAAGAGUAUUAGAAUAGAAGCAUAUGAAUUAGGGCAGAAAGCACAAACUAAAUCACUUAAGAUAAUAAUUCCGCCUAAACAAGAAUUUAGGGUAAAAUUCGAUUUGAACAAAAACUAAACAAUGAAUUCGGCUCUAAUAGGUAUUCCAGAUGGAAAUAUCACAAAAAAUUGAAGAAAAUACACCAAAUAACCAAAGUGAUAUAUUUGGCCAAUAAUGAACAAAACUGAAUUCAGAGACAGAAAGGAUAGUUAAGAAAUUAUUACUAAGCCUAGCUCUAACACCAAUUGAUGCGGAACCCCAGCCUAUUAGAGACUGAAACGACACAUACCCUAGUAAAAAUAACUUAGUUAAGAAAAUAAUUUCCCAAUCUAAAGCACCCUUAAUUAACAUGCAAUUAAGAACACUUAUAACUGAUUGAUUUUAAGAGCAGCAAGAAUAAGGAUCAUAUAAGUUAGUAUCAAACCUUAUUCGUGAUGCACUGUUAAGAACCAAGAUCUCUCUUAAGCUCUCAAAGAAGAAUCGCGUAAAGCAAUUGUAUUGAAUAAUUGAUAAUCUCUAUACAAUAUGGAAAAAGAAAUGCUUUAUAUACCCUAGGGAAGUCUAGCCUAACCCAAGAUCCUUGCUACUUUCCACUACUAUGUAUGGACCCAUGAUCUAUGCCACUAUCCACUACUAUGCAUGAACCCAUGAUCUAUGCCACUAUCCACUUUUGGAUAACUACCCACUAAUGGUUAACUACCAACUGCUAAAUAACUACUCACUACUGAAUUAGUGAUGGAGAAUGUGUUAAUUCAAAUACAAAAUUUGAAUCGUCAAUAAGGACACAUUCGGCCUAAUUGACUUGGAAUGGCCAGAUUUUUCUUCAACUUCAAAAUGAACUUGCAAAGUUUCAACAUAUCCCUUCAUGAAUCCUUGAAGUGCUUCGUUCAAUCUUUUGGAUCUCAACCUUGUAAUUGGUCCUUGAGGCAAUGCUAGCUCAUCAUUUUUGGUGUUCUUGGUUGUACUUACAUCACACAAAACCUUAUUCGUGUGUUACUUUCCAAAUUAUCAGUGUUUUUUUCUAGUUUUUGUGCGCUUUCUUCUAGUUUUUGCAUGCUUCCUUCUUUCUUUAUGUUUACUUCUUUGUUUCUUUAAACGCACCUUGUGGUUGUUGAUUGACCUUAAAUUCUAAAGUGCAAUUGAAGAAUUAGCAAAAGAGUGGUAAGAUUCUUUCAUUUCUAACACCAUAUUUGCUAGUUCUCUUUGUUCUUUGUUGAUUUAAGGUAGGAUGAGUAAAGAUAAGAGUGCGGUGGAUAGUACUGAUGAAAGUGAAUUGGACAUGGGUAACUAUUAUAAGCUCUUUAAGAAGUCAGUCAGUAGUGAGUUAUAAAGGCUCAAUAAGGCUCUUGAGAGGAUGACCAAAGCUAUAGAGAGUUUGAAAGUCUCACGAGCUUCCACUUCUAUAAGAAUGGCUCAUCGAAUUCUUAACCCCGAUAGACCACAAGCCCAAGAACCUCAAGUCUGAGGUGAAGUUGAUACAGAAGAUAAUGUCGAACAAGGAAGGAGAAGAGGUGAAGUUCAUGGAAGUAAUAGAACUGGCAUUGGGUGGAAUAGAGGUGGAGAUGCUAGAUUUGGCAGAAAUGAUGAUGAGACCGAGACAUACCAAACCAACACAACUGACGGUGACUUGAGCUCCAUAAAGAUGGAAGUUCCUGAAUUUAAAGGGAAUAACAAUGUUGAAGAAUAAAUUGAAUGGGAGAGAAAAAUUGAGCAGAUAUUUGAGUGUCAUAACUAUACUGAGGAGAAGAAGUCUCAUAUCGCCGCCGUUGAGUUCAUGGGUUAUGCCUCUUUCUGGUGGGAUCAAUUGAAAUCCACUAGGAGGAAUAAGGGCUUAAGAGCAGUUUCACCAUAGAUAUACUUGAAAGAGUUGAUGUGCCAGAGAAUUCCUUCGCACUAUUAUAGGAAUUUGUACAACAGGUUGCCAAGACUGGUGCAAGGAGGGAAGAGUGUGAAAGAAUACCACAAGGAGAUGGAGAAGAUGAUGGCUCGGGCUCAUUGAUCAGACCAAAUUUAGAUCCAUUUAUCAUGUUAUUAUUAAUUUCAAUUUACACAUUUUCUAUCUAAUUCUGUGGUUUUGAUCUUAUUUUCCAGAAAACGGUGUAAAAAGGUAAUUUAGUGAAAAUGCUCUUAAAACUGCCUAAAAGAGGAUAGAGGACAACAAGCAUGUUUGCACAAGCCAAGUUGCAACUGAAGAGAAGAUAAAUAAGGAAAGUACAUUCAGCAGAGUAAUUUGAAAUUCAAAUUUCAAAUCUUCAAGAAGUCAUUCCCUUGUUGAGGAAGCCAAAUCUCAAGAAGAUGCACUUGCCUCCCAAGAAUUCAAAAUUCAAAGGAGAAUAUUCAAAAUUCAAAAUUCAAAAUUCAGCAUUCAAAAUUCAAAAUUCAAAAGAAGACUCCACCUCAACAAGGAAACCUAGGGCAACACUUUCAGCUAUAAAAGCGUCAUAUGAAGAGCCGCACGCCUCCCUUGGACUCCCACAAUCGGCAAGCAAGCCAUCCUUUCACUCCAAGCCGCCGGCCACCCUUCUUCUUCUUCUCUUUCUUUUAUUUUUUUGUUUUGUUUCAGCCAUGAGUGGCUGAAACCUCUUUUCCUAGUUGAAGAUUAGGUGAAACUUUAGUUGUUUUAUAUAUUGGGAGAUCUGAACAUACAUUGUUUAUCUUUUGUUUUUCAAUAUUUAUGCAAUUUCAUGCUUAAUUCCAUUGUUGCUUUGUUGUUUAGAUCAAUAAGGCCCAUUGAUUCUUGAUUGCAAAGUAAUAAUUUGUUAGUUUGGAUAGUUUUAAGUCUUAAUUACUUGAAUUAUUCAAACACAAGUAACUCUUGGUGUAAAAACUAAGGAAAUUGCAUGAUCUAGCAAUAUCACCAUAUGUUUGGGUAGCUAGAAUUAGGUUUCUCUAUUUCUUAAUGCAAUUGACAAUUGUUAGAUGCCAAAGGCCCAAGGACGUUCCUUGGCAACUUGUUGAUUAGUAAUUAAUUAGAGGACGUUCCCUAAUUGAUUUAUACUUGAGGGAUAUGGUGGUGAGAAGCGUCUUCCACCUCCAUAACUAAUUUAUUGAAUUAAAUAAAUGAAUCUUUAUGUCAAUUAUCAAUCCCAACAACUGAAGUGGAUCCAAUUCUUCAACUAGAGCCUUUCUAAUUAUUGAAUUUCUUUACUUUAUUAUUUGCUUUACUUUAUUGCUUUUAAUUCUAGUUCAAUUCAUCAAUCUCAAAACCCCCCCCCCUUUUAUUUUACUUUCAGUUUAUUUACUUGGUCUUGAUAAGAAAAAUAGGUAAGUGUCAAUUUCAUGUGGAUUCGAUCCUUUUGCCACUAUCUGCAGUUGUAAAAUUAUUGAUAAUCAAAAAGGUUAUUUUUGACCGGCUUCGACAACCGCACAGUCAAAAAUUGGCGCCAUUGCCGGGGAGCUGAUUUAACUAAUUUAUUGUUCUUUCAUGACUAGGGCUGGACGCAAGGAAACUCUGUCUUACGAUCCAGAAAUUGAGCAUACAAUCAAGCGACUUGGGGAAGCAAGUCACCACACUUUGGGAGCAAGCCACCACCAAAUCUGCCCCCAAGGAACCAGCAAUCGCAGAAACUGAAUCAACACCUUCUGAACUUGACCAAACAGCCGCAGAGAUGGCUGAAAACAAUGUACAACCUGCUGCACAUGCUGAACCUGCUGUCCAUGAUGAACUCAUACCAGAAAAUCCAGCAAUGAGGCCACCAAUACCAAGAGAAAGAACACUGAGAGAGUUGGCAGCCCCUAUAGGCGAUCAAGCACCUGUCUGCAUCAUCUAUCCGCCAUUGACAGUCCCUUUUGAGCUCAAAACAGGUUUGAUACACCUUUUACCUAAAUUUAGAGGUUUGGAGAAUGAAAAUCCACAUAAGCACUUGAAAGAAUUUCACAUAGUAUGUUCAUCCAUGAGGCUGCAAGGCAUAUUUGAAGAGCAUGUGAAACUGAGAGCAUUCCUAUUCUCACUUGAUUAUGUCAAAGAUUGGUUAUUUUACCUACCACCCGGAUCGAUCACUUCUUGGGAUAGUAUGGUUAGAGCUUUUCUGAACAAAUAUUUCCCAACUUAGAAAGCCAUAAGCAUAAGAAGAGAGAUAAGUGGCAUUAAGCAAAAAGAGAUUGAAGACUUGUAUGAGUAUUGGGAAAGAUUUAAAAGAUUGUGCACAAGCUGUCCUCAACAUGACAUUUCAGAUAAAUCACUCACAGAAUUCUUCUAUGGAGGUUUGCUACCAUUCGAAAGGAAAUUCAUUGAUGUAGCAUGUGGAGGUUCAAUUGAAGAUAGAACACCUCAAGCAAUUAGUGUAAUACCCGGCUAGACUCCGGUAUCGGAAUUCCUACCGUCCGGUGGAAUCUCGAAUGUCGGAAGCCUCUAGUAGGGUAGAGACAUGUUUUCAUAAAAUGUUUUAAGGUAAUUCAUGGUUUUAAGUAUGAAAAUUUAAUGAGUUUUUGCAUGAAAAGUCUUUGGAGGAAAACCCAGGUUCGGCCGCCGAAGGUCAAGUUCGGCCGCCGAACAUGCAUGCGUUUUGGAGGCACGUUAGGCCCCCGAAAGCAUGAGUGAGGGAAGUUCAGGUUCGGCCGCCGAAACCCAAGUUCGGCCGCCGAACAUGGCAUGCAUGCGGAAGCACUUUCGGCCCCCGAACGUGGCCUGGCCAGCCACUAUAAAAGGGUCACUUAGCCGAAAUGGG